RNAcentral lists this long non-coding RNA (81920 nucleotides) under Brassica rapa (field mustard). RNAcentral's name for it is "long non-coding RNA (BRAP_LNC004970)". The stretch from base 58463 to 58568 matches the Rfam family "Plant small nucleolar RNA R71". Lineage: Eukaryota; Viridiplantae; Streptophyta; Magnoliopsida; Brassicales; Brassicaceae. The record is from RNAcentral.
CCAGCCAGCAUCUUAACAAAUCAUGUAUGACAUUCCCCUCUACCAACCUCAUUUCUUAACUUAAAUAAAUGUGUAUGCCUUACCUUGGGAGUAUCGAUCACAAGACACAUGGACUCUUAACCCAACAGGUAUCUGAGUAAACAGGUAGUCUUGUUCUGGUUUCUUUUACUCAAUAUCUCCCUUCUCUGAAUCUUUUUUAUCUAAAUUCCAAUGAACAAAGGUGCUGAUGUAGUCCAUCUUAUUCACCUUCUUUUCGAUUUUUUUAAUUUUUUUAUUGUUUUUUUUUCUUUUUCUUUUCUUGACAAAGUGUAGGCGAAUAGUGGGGUCAUCGGUAAUGUACCUACCCCUCGCUUCCAACAAUGUGUGAUCAUUCUAUUAGAGUAGAAUAAUGGGGUCAUCGGUAAUGUACCUACCCCUCUAAACUGCAAGAAAUCAUCUCAAUCUUUUAUUUUAUUUUAUUAGAAUGCCAAAGGGAGGAGAUAAGGAAACCAAAAUCACUCAGACUUUUACCUUUCAGACCUGAAGGAGGAAUCCGAUCCAGUGUAUACCAAGCCCCAAGACAAGCAGUUAAGUCAAAUUAGGUUGGAGGUCAGCUUCGGUUCCUUCAAACAAUCUCAGCAAGUGUGAACAUAGUUGACAGGUUGAUCCACUUUAGUAUCUUUAGUACUAUAUGCAAUCAGUAAGUCGAGAAUGGUGCUAAAGAGUGGUUAGAUAAAAGCAUGAAUCUAAUAAGUUCAUUAUCCCCUUCUUGACUCAAUAAAAACAGAUUUUGAAAAUAUUUUAAAUAGGACUCAUAAAGGUAGAUAAACGUUAGUAAUCCCCCCCAGACUUAAAUUACACUGUCCCUAGUGUAACACAGUCGGUGGUAAGGUGAAAAUCAUAAAGCAGAAGUACAGAAUUUAACAAGUAAGAACGAUAACCUGCUCAGUAUCGAUCGAUACAAUGAAGUCACAAUCGAUCGUUGUUGAUGAAGUGAUGUCGAUUGAUAGUGACAUGGUCUAAUCGGUCGAUGGCUAGAGAAAUCAUUCGACACAAUGAAGAGACAAUCGAUUGUUGGAUAUGAAGCGCUGUCGAUCGAUAUCGAGCUGGUGUCAUCGGUCGGUGUGCUGAGCAAUCGUCUGCUUGGAUGUGAGUGUCGAGCAACAUAGUUAAGUGGCGAUCGAUACUCUUGAUGCUCUGUCGAUCGAUGCUACGUAGUCAUCAUCGAUUCUCCUGCAAUCUCGUCAUUCUCGGAUCUUAUCCUUUUACUAACAUAAACAAAACAUUUAAUACAAUUAAUAAAUAAAUAAUAAAACCAAUAAUCAAUAAAAAUAAUAAUAAUAAUAUAUUUUUUCCGAUGAACAGUGCUUUGCUACAGUGUCGCUCGAUGUUGCUGCUACAGUGUCUCUGCUACAGUACGUCGUUACUGUUCUUUUUUUUUUUACCUGAAAUUUUUAGAAAACAAAGAAUCAGUAAUAAAUGAAAGAUAAAUCAUAUUUAAAAUUACCUAACAGUGGGUUACCUCCCACUCAGCGCUUAUUUUUAGUCAUUAGCUUGACUUCUGGAGAUCUGAUUCAGUCCAGAUGAGAAUGAGAACUUGCUCCAAACCAAGUCUCAAUGUCUACUCUUUGAAGCUUUAUCAUUCUUGUGUGAAAGCCUCCUCCAUAGACCCUUCUCCUUUGUCUAUUAUCUCAACAAUAAGGAGUGCUAUAAGUUUUGCAUAUGGAUGUGAGAAGCAUUUGCUGCGCACUCUUGAUUUUCUGAAACUAUCUGAGAAGUAAGGAGUCAAUGGUAAUUGAGAGCCUCCUUUGGUUCGUUUCCGCUUCUUCCAAUUUCUUCCCUUCUUUCCCACAGACUUGUGUAAUCUCACUUUGGACUUCAUGGCAUCAUCUGAGAAGUGAGGAAUCAAUGAUAACUGAGAACCUUCAUCGAUUCUUUUUUUCUUCUUCCAGUUCCUCCACUUCUUUCCCCCAGACUUGUCUGAAUGCGUGGUGGUAUCUCCAUAAAAAAUAUUUCCACACAAUUCAUACUCAUUCUGCUCUGAUUCGCGUCUGGUGUCGAUCGAUAGUAUCUGAUCGGUAUCGAUCGAUGAUGAAGUGUUAGUGUCGAUCAAUUUCGAUUUGCUGAUGUCGCUCGAUGGUGCUUCUGCUGGGACUUCAUCUACUUCAUUUGUAAAUCGCAGCCCUCUUUGAGAAGCUUCUACAUGAUGUUGAUCAUUCAAUACCUCAAUGUAAGAACUCAGAUACACACCUUUAUCCGGUGGGAUAGGAGAUUCAACUUCAAACACUGCACAUGGAACCAUAAUCUUCACAGGAUCAUGUAUCGUCUUCACUCUUUUGCAAAUCCCAACAGCUUCUUCUGCGCAUAUAGGUGGUCUUAGAUGUUCGGGGACAUCAAUGUGUGAUGUCUUAGACAUGUGCAUUAUCUCCUCAAUCGGUCUUGGUUCAAUUGGGUAUCCAGAUAGUCCAUCCAAACAUGGGUGCCGAUCGAUGCAAUCGGGUGGGUAUCGAGCGAUACAGGCGGGUGUAUGUAGAUUCAUGAUGUGUGGCGACUGUCGAUCUAUGGCGUAGGGUGGGUGUUGAUCGAUUAUGCAGGGAGUGUAUCGAUCGAUCUCAUCAGGUUUAUGUUGGUCGAUGUCGUCAGCCUUUAAGGAAUUGUCCAGACCUUUUCCCGAAGCGAGCUGAUCAUCAAGUUUCUGCCGAAGCCAUUCUUCCAACUCCAGAAAGUCUUUCAGAGUGACUUUGUCGACAUCUGAGGUAAGAUCACAGCUUGAUUCAUCGAUGCUCUCCUGUGUCGAGUUUGCAAUGUCCUGAGGACAACUCGAUCUUUCAGGGUUUUCAAGUGGAAUCGAUCGAUGACAAAAGUCUGUGUCGAUCAUUUCUGAGGUACUGGGGUCGAUCGACGAUGAGGUGGGGGUGACGAUGAUGUUAUGGUAAGGGUGUCAAUCGAUGAUGAGCUCUGUUGGGGUCAAAAACGGUUACGACGAAAUUACCACCCGAAAAUCCUCGGAGAUCGUAUUUCCGAAAGAGAUAGUAAAAAGAAGGAUACAACUUUCGUAAAAUAUAACCAAUACGAAGUUUUUACGAAGAAGUAUCCUUGAAGAUUCAAACCAAACAAAUCAAGCUCGGUCGUUGCGUAAUUACCGCGCAUACACGCCGUCCGGUCGCUACGUAGCAACUAAGUCCAGGCCGAUAUCGGCCGCUACAUAGCGACCGAACGUCCGACCCAAUCGGUCGCUACGUAGCGACCGAGCUCGAGCCAAAGCUCGGUCGCUACGUAGCGACCAAGCGCUCGUCCCGCUCGGUCGCUAAGUAGUGACUGAGCUCGGCCAAGCUCGGUCGCGAGCUCGGUCGCUACGUAGCAACCGGGCUCGAGCCAAAGUUCGGUCGCUGUGUAGCGAUUGAACCCUUCCGAACAUCGACAGACAUCAAUCCAUGCAUUCUCGUCAAACCAUCAAAUGCUAUCUCCCGAAGACCGUAGCAAGCUUAGUCUAUGUUUCCGCUAUUCUAAAUCACCGAUCAAACUUUGCGAAUUAAAAACCACGGAAAGUUCGUUCUUUAUCGAAAGAAUUCGUAGUAAACGUGUCGAGUCGGAAGACGGCCCAAAGAGACCUAAAACACGACUCGAGGUCCAUCCUACGAUUUCUUAACCAAAAGCCCGUAAACCACAGCACAGUUUACGCUUGGUCCACAAGAAAGGAUAAAUGUCAAGUUUCUGCGGAUAAAUACGGAAUUUUGAAGAUAAUUAUGAAGAUCGGGAAAAAUGGAAUAUCUCCAUUUUAUGCUAUGACGACUUAAGGGCAGAAGAGUAAACGCAUAGACCGACCUUGGAGCUAGUAUAUAAGGAGUCCUAGGCGAGGAGCAUGAGGAGAGAAAACUUUUGAGAGCAAACUUAGCACUUAGAGCAAUUUAGCCAACUUUCCGUUUUUGUUAUUUCGAGCUGCGACUCAAUUAGGUUUAGCCGUCUUAGGGUUGCUAGAACUAGGAAUUUCGCCGACAGCUCUCGAGCCCAGGCUUAUACCUUGUUGUAAACGCUCAUACGCAAAUCCGGAAUAAGAUCUUCUUUGCUCUCUUUUUCGAUUUCUUAUACUUUAUCGUUGUUAUUCUCGUGUUCUGAUUGCUUGACAUGUGGUAAUUAGCAGAUAUCCGGGUCCUCUGAGAAAUUAGGGUUUUCCUAGUUUCCUUAUUUAAACGGAAAUCGACAGUACGAAUUUCGGUUCCCACAGUUUGGCGCUAGAAGGAGGGGGGAUACAGAUCAAUCUAACCCGCAAAAGCCACAUCAAUCUCAAUCAGACAUGUCAACUAACGACGCGGAUAACAGGCAAACUCCUCUUAACGGAGGCAGCGGCACCGAUCUCCACACUCCAGUAGCGGACGUAUCCGCGGCCAACACACAAGCCAACGCCGCGACGCUCGAGGAGUUUAAGAAGAUGUUCGCCACCUAUGAGAAAAGGUCGGAAGAACAGGAUAAGCUCGUGAAUACCUUGACCAAACAAGUUGAAACUUUAACGGCAAGGACCCAAACAAUCCGUCCCCGCGGAACCAUCAAAAUCCGCGGAAAGAGGCUCGACUUCGCUACCCCACUCGACAGAUCAGGAGUCGCGCGGGAACGACCUUCCGGUCAAAACCCUAGCGAGAAAUCUCCCAUCGAAAAGGGGAAACCUGAAAGUCUUCCGCCCCCUGAGAAGGACUCGGAGGAUAACGAAGCCGAACACAUUGACCUGGAUCCUAGUGAUGUCUCCAACGACACCGACGAGGACGUCGACAGACAUCCAAGAAGGACCAGAAGCCGAUCCGCUCGGGAAGGCUCCCCGUUCGAAAAAUCAAUGACGGAAGAAGAGGAAGUCGCCUAUUGGAACGAACAAGAGGAGGUGGCUGAAAAGCCAACCGAGCUCACUCGCAGUAAACGCUGACAAGCUCGGAAAUCCACUGACGAGACAUCGGAUAUCCGCGAUCUUCGCGACUACAUCACCAAGACUGCGGCAGAAGUGAGAGCCGUAAAAUCUCAAAUCCAUCAUGCUACUAGUGCUGCCCCCGAGAUCGAUCGACUGCUGGAAGGAGCUCGAAAGACCCCCUUUACCAGUCGCAUUUCGGACAUGAGGGUGUCCGAUCCGGGAAAAAUCAAAGUACUGAAGUACGAUGGUACGGCCGAUCCAAAAGCGCACCUUCAGGCAUUCCACAUCGCGAUUGGAAGAGCAAGACUGAAGGACGGCGAAAAGGAUGCCGGCUAUUGCCGCCUGUUCGUCGAAAAUCUUGAAGGAGCAGCGCUCGAAUGGUUCGCGCGCCUUCGUCGCAACACCAUCGGGAGUUUCCGACAGCUCGCAUCGGAAUUUCUCAAACAAUACUCUGUAUUCAUAGACAGAGAAACUUCCGAUGUUGAUCUCUUGAGUCUCUCCCAGAGGGAAGACGAACCCCUCCGCGAGUUUAUCAGUCGGUUCAAGCUAAUAAUGUCCAGAGUCAGCGGGAUAAGCGACAAAGUGGCCAUCGACGCGCUGAGAAAGACGCUCUGGUACAAGUCGAAAUUCAGAAAGUGGAUAACACUCGACAAACCGCGAACGAUCCAGGACGCCCUCCACAAAGCAACGGACUACAUCAUAGUCGAGGAAGAAACUAAAGUCUUAUCGCAAAAACAUAAGGCGGCAAGGCCAUCCUCGAAAGACGUGGAUCCGAAAGGGAAAAAGAAGAAUUCUCGUAACGACAAGUACGUCCAUCACGAGGGGGAAGAUUUCCAAGGGGCGCAUAACUACGCGAUCAAUUCGGAUCAAGGCCGGACCACGGGCAACACAUGGACUCGCAAUCAAGGGUAUGACGAAAACACCUUCUGCGAGUUCCACCAAUCCCGAGGACACUCCACGACCAACUGCAAAGUCUUGGGAACAAGACUGGCCGCGAAGCUACUCGCUGGAGAGCUCUCGGAAGUAACUAGCGUCAAGGAUCUCGUCCGCGAUUCUGAUCGCCCUCCAAAUACGGACAGAAAUCCGCCCGCCGAAAAAUCACCUCAACGAAACCAGCCUGGGGAUAAACGCGGUAGGAGGCCAGACGACAAGGGAUACGAUAACAAUCUUCGCAGAGUCAAUAUGAUCAUCGGAGGAUCACAAUACUGCGGCGAUACUGUGUCGGCCAUCAAGGCUUACCAAUGGAAGGCAGAGUCGAGUGCAAAUAGGCCUACAUGGUCUCCUACUCGAGAUGGCCAAAAUUGCUCGAUUACCUUCACAAAGGAAGAAGCUGGCGGUAUCGACCAACCUCACUGCGACCCGCUCGUCAUAGAUCUCGUCAUACGAGAUUUAGAAGUCGGAAGGGAACUCGUCGACAUGGGAAGCACGGUCAACGUAAUCUUCCGCGACACUCUCAAGCGGAUGAGCAUUGAACUCGGAGAAGUAAUUCCGACGCCGAAACCACUCACGGGUUUUUCAGGCGAAGUAUCGAUGACUCUUGGAUCGAUCCAAUUGCCAGUCAUGGCCAAGGAGAUCACGAAAAUCGUCGAGUUCGCGGUAGUCGAUCAUCCUGCUAUCUACAACGUGAUCAUGGGAACCGCAUGGCUCAACGCCAUGCAGGCAGUUCCGUCAACUUACCACCUGGGUCUCAAAUUCCCAACCCCAAGCGGAGUCGCGGCCAUCUGGGGAUGCCAAAAACAGUCGCGGCUAUGCUUCCUCGCAGAGCACAAGUUAAGGCAAAUCGCGACUUCUGCAGCUGUAAACGGCAAGCGUACGAAGAUAGACCGAUCUUCGGCCAAAAGCGCCCCGGGAAAAGACGAGUUAAAAUCGUCUACCGACGCAAACGCAUCGAACGUCGAAGCUCGACACAAGUCCGAAGCCCACACUACAACUCAACCGGAACAUCCGGAAAAUAGUGUUGACCUAGCCACGAUCAACAUGGUCAAGGCGGACAUCGCGACAUCUACCGCCGAGUAAGAACACUCGCGGCAUGAAACAGAACUACGAGAUGGCUUGAUCUUCGAAAGGGGUACGUAGGCAGUUCGUCAAAAGACGAGUUCAGCUAUCCCCCUCUCUAAAAAGGGGGGGGGAGGGAGUGGGUGCGUAUACUCGUAUACUCCCACUUAGAAAAAUAUUCAUUAUUGUAAUCAAGUUUUUAGAAACUUCAAAAACUUUUACUACAAUAUAUGUUGUCCCUUUUAUCGAAAACGCUUACGCUUCAGUAAAACAUAAAAGAAACUUUCAGGACACGCUUGGAAAACAUUAAGACUCUUGUUUGCGGCCUCAUCAGGCCCAAAAUCGUAAAAAUUAUCAUCUUUCAAACACACAAAUAUACACGUAUAAUCCCCGAAAUAACUGCGAGACGUCGCAAAAGUUAAAAUUCGAGGAUAAUACUAACAAAUUGUCAGAACGCGACCACCAAAAACCUUACACCCCGUUCGUCGAUUGGCCCCGACGAACACGCCAGCCGUCUUAAACAAACGCAAUUCGAUCACUCUUUUGAUCUUCAAAAUGUCCAGCACAAGGACAAAAGCGCGCUACAACAAAAAUCCGAAAUUUUGGUUCAGCACUUCUAGUUGACUCUGAGAAGAUGCUCGAUUCGUACCAUACAAGUCAUAUAAGCCGAGAACUUAUCGCGGACUUUAAACCGGUGCGAGUCAGGAAGAAAUCGCAACAGGAAAAACGAUAGCCGGCUAGUCACAUCACAAACCUUAACCGAAAGUAAACCUAGGUCUUGCACUAAACCCAACGCUCUGGUCUCAAACAUCUCAAGGCAUGAUAUCUAAAAGAUACGAGAUCCUAAACCAUGUCUCUCCGUUCGUAUCUCAACGUUCUCGAAAAUCGUAUAGAUAGGUAAUUCUUACAAAAAUCACGAACGAACCAACAGAUUGGACGUCUUAUCGAAAUUAAAUAUGAGACGACAACUCAUAUUUACUUCGGACCUACUCAGGAAAAUUCGAAAAAACAAAACAUUUAUCACAUAAAUAACCGCGUAAAGCGGUAAGGGGAUUCAAAGCCACCAACGGCCAGUCCCGAUAAGCAAUAAAAACGGCCAAAACAAGCCCAUAUAAAUCUCCCGGCCACACUCGGCCAUAAACGUAAAACAGAAAGACGAACAUCUUUCUUUCGAUAACUACUCCACCGCUCAUAAUCCAAAGUCAAAGUCCCCGGACAACGAAGCACCGAACGCAUCCGCGGGACGAUCCACUUCCUCGCCGCCGUCAGGAAACCCGGUUGAAACCUCCUCGGUAUCAGGGGAAACCGGGAUGGAAUCCCAGAACCUUUGAAUCCGCUCGUCGAUCGAAGGGAUGAGCGCCUCAGCGUGGGCACGUUCAUUCAUCCCACUCUUCAUCAAGCUCAUUUCCUCCUCGAACACGUAGUCAUCGGCUCGCGUCCUCCAAAGACUUCCGACCGAACUGCGGCAUUCACGAAAAUCACCCACCGAGGUAAAGGCGUUCUUGAGGUUCCCAUACUCAACCUGGAAUUGAGAGGCACGAGUCUUCAUCACCUCAACGAUUUCUCUUUUGCCUUUCCUUUCUGCCUUAUGGGCAGCCCGCGCAUGAUCACGAGAAAGUUGCGCUUCUCGCUCCAAAAUCUCGCCUUGCACGCGAGCGAGAUCUCGUUCCGCUUUCUCUGCUUUGAAGCGAUAGACCAUAGCCUCCCUAUGACUCGCUUCAAUGGCCGAGCCAAGCAAGUUAAGGCCCUGCGAAAUCAAUUAACGCAUUGUAAGCAUAAAAGGAAAAACCUAGGCAAUCACGAAUAUUUUCGAAAAAACCAUACCCCGUUGAUGAUUCGGGACCCUUCCGCGACGACCUUCGGCCUCGCGGACUCUUUCGCAGGCGGAGGAGGAUCAAAACCCGGUGGCAGACCGGCUAAGAAAUCAUCAAAGUCCGGGAUAGGGGCCUCGCUCGAGCCACUCCCAUCGCCAUAAGCUAGGUUCGGAUCCCAUCCUGGAAGCAUAGACUCAUCCAUCGAAAAUUCUAUGUCGCCAAGGUCGAUAUCUUUUCCCUUCCAAGAGCUCGACUCCGGCACGGCUGUUGGGGAUACAGCGGGACUCUGGUCAUCAGGUUCAGAGUCGCUACCCGUGUCCGCAACCGAGGCAGGACCAGGGUGCACGAACCUCAGAGCCCUCCGAACCCUCUUCGGCGUAAAGGAAGUCCAAAAGAAGGGACCAUUCCUAAGAAGAUCCCUCACCUCAAUAAUGUCCUCAGGAAACGGAGCAAGAGGAUUGAUGAAAGGACGAUCAUUCGGAAACCUCCAGAACAGUGGAAUGCAACUCUCUUCGACAGACGCAGCGUCUAAACGAACAAAGAAGAAAAACUUCUUCCACGAGUUGAAGUUCAAAAUGAACUUCUUAACCACAGACAUAAACUUCCGAGGGACCAGCCUAUGCUUGUCCGUAACUUUGACGAGUUGAAGCCUCAGAAGCGCUUCAAAAUGAUCGACGGAAAGGGAAAGGCCAUGCUCAUAGCUCAGGAUCAAGAUCCCAAUAAAAUGCUGAAUGGCGAGGGUAGUCAACUGGAUUAUCGCAACCUCGAAACGGUCCAAUACUCGGACGAGAAUUUUGGGGAUUGGGAACCAUAAGCGACAACGCACUACGAACGCCUCGUAGCAAGUGAAGUAACCCUCUGGGGGGCUGUUAGCACACUCUCCGGGAUAGGGAACUCGGAACUCUACGGCAUCCGGGAUAUGGUAGAACGAUCGCAUGAUUGCGAGAAACUCGUCGGUACUCCUGCUCGGAUCCUCUUUCUCGACCCCACGAUGGAUCAGAACCGGGAACGACUUCUCUUUGGGAGGAGUCAUCGAACCAUAAUGAGCAACCCACCAUGCCUCGUUCUCGGCGGGAUGUACCGAGUGAGGCACAAACUCCAUCUUCGGAACAAUGAGCUCUUCAUAAGCACUCGCGGACGAAGACCCUGUUUUCGCAACUUUUUUCUUGCUCGACAUCUUUACACUUCUCUUGAGAAAAUAGAGGAAAAGGGUGGAGAGAAACAAAGAAAGUUUUUCUUAAGAAAGAUCUUAGAGAAAGACAAGAAAGUGAAAAAAUUGUGAAACAAGUUACCUCCCUUCUUAUAGGCAUGAGAAUUUACUAUUCAAGCUCGGACUUUCGGAUAUUAAUUCCAUCCAUCACGCCUAACUUGCCAAACAUGCCUAACCGCACGCUAGGAUCCUACGAAGCAUGAUCCUAACGGGCUGGGGGGCUAACUGUUGGGGUCAAAAAUGAGAUUUUAGAGAUUUAAGAAGGUAUUGAGAGAUUAAGAAAGAUUAAAGAGAAGUUUACAGAAAGAUUUAAACAAGUAUCAUGGUUUGAGAGUGAUUAAGAGACUUUGAGAUUUAAACUAGAGAGAGAGUAGAGAGAGAGUGAUUCAAUCUCGUUAAUUAUUAAUCUGAUGAGGUUACAACUUAUAUAGUAUGAGAGCUUAGGGUUUACAAGGUUUAAAGAUAAGCUAAAGCAUGUGAAGUCAACCAGGAGAUGAGCGCAUAUCAUAAAGCAUCGAAUGAGCUUCUUCCCGCGUGUGAAGCAUCUUGGAUCUUUGACUAGGAUGCUGACAGUCUGUCACAGCCUGGCACAGCCUGUCAGAUGCGCUCCUCAAGCUCUCUCAACGGUCUGAUCCAAGUAGAGCAUGGUAGAAGGUAAGAAUGAUCCGUUUACUCCCCUCUUGGUUAAACGGUCAUGGUAACUUCUUCUUUACCUUGUACGGCCACCUUGUACGGCCUGUCCGUACACUCACAUCCCUAACUUCAUCCUCAAGCCUCUAACCUUCUCUAGCUUCAUAUCACCUAGUUGCAUCACCUCAUUUCAACACUCCCCCUCAAGCUUAACCAUGUGGAACAAGUUAAGCUUGGAAGGACCAUGAGAUCUUCCUCAUUAAAAACCUUACCAAAGAAAACCCAUUUGGGACAAAACUUUGAUAAGGGAAAAAGAGUAAAGACCUCAUGAUCCGGGGACUAUUCUAUGGGUGUAAGAUCAAUGAGUCCUAACCUGAUGUGUAUGGACUCCAUUGUCUUUUGUCUUGCUGCCUUGGUGAAUACAUCCGCUAACUGAUCCUCACUCCUUGUAUAGCAUGGCAAGAUUACUCCCAAAACGAUCAUCUGCCUCACCUUGUGGCAGUCUACUUCAAUGUGCUUGGUUCUCUCAUGGAACACUGAGUUGGAUGCAAUGUGUAUAGCUGCUUGGUUGUCGCAAUGCAUAGUCAUUGGUGUAGCUUGCUCUAUCUCCAAGUGUUUCAAGAUCCCUUUGAUCCACACCAACUCAUUGGUUAGCUUCAGCAUUGCCCUAUACUCAGCUUCAGCACUUGAACAAGAUACUACUUUCUGCUUCUUGCUCUUCCAUGUCACAAGAUUACCUCCAAUGAAUGUACAAUAGCCGGUAGUUGAUCUUCUGUCUGCUCUAUCUCCUGCCCAAUCAGCAUCACAAUAGCCCACCACUUCAGUACUCUUGUUGCAUCCCAUCCAAACUCCAAGGCCUGAUGUACCGUUCAGAUACAAGAGGAGUCUCUCCACCAUUCGCCAGUGAUGCUCCUUUGGGACUUGCAUAUGCUGGCUCACUUGAUUCACAGCAAAGCAUAUAUCCGGACGUGUGAUGGUAAGGUAGAUGAGCUUCCCUACUAGCUUCCUGUAUAGCUUUGGAUCAUGAAAGACCUUGCUAUCUUCAAUCUCCCCCUCACGUGGAACCUUGUAUCCAUCUUCAAGAGGCAUCCUUGCUGUCUUAUCUCCUUGUAUACCUGCAUCUUUCAAAAGAUCAAGUGUAUACUUCCUUUGGGAAAUGAACAAUCCUUCCUUAGAUCUACACAACUCAAUUCCAAGGAAGUAUUUCAUUUCUCCUAAGUCUUUAAUUUCAAAUACAGAUUUUAAAAACUCCUUGGUGGCUUUUAUCCCAGCCUUAUCACUACCUGUUAUAAUGAUAUCAUCAACAUACACAAGUAGACAAAUGAUACCUGAGGGUGAAGUAAGUGUGAAGAGAGUAUGAUCCAAUUCUGAUUUCUUGAAUCCACGCCCAUUUAAAGUAGUGCUCAGCUUGUUGUACCAUGCUCUAGGAGAUUGUUUCAACCCAUAGAUAGCCUUCUUGAGUCUCAACACAUUUCCAGGUUUCACAAGAUGCCCUAGGCCUGGUGGUGGAUGCAUAUACACUUCAUCUUCUAGUUCUCCUUGAAGAAAGGCAUUCUUCACAUCCAUCUGCCAAAGCUCCCACUCAAGAUUCACAGCCAGAGAUAAUACAAUUCUUAUUGUAUGGAGCUUAGCAACAGGAGCAAAGGUGUCAAUGUAGUCUUCCCCAUAUGAUUGAGUGUAUCCUUUAGCCACCAGUCUUGUCUUCUUUCUCUCAAUAGUCCCAUCAGGCUUGUACUUGAUAGUGAAUAUCCACUUGCUAGUUACUGCCUUCUUUCCUGUUGGCAGUUCACUUUCAAACCAAGUAUCAUUCUUUAUCAUAGCAUUAGCUUCAUCACCUACUGAUUCCUUCCAGUCUUCAUGUAGCAUUGCAUCUUCAUAUGAUCUAGGCACAUAGCUUCCAUCUAAGCUGAUCAUAAAUGCGCACUGCUCUUCUGGAUAGCACGCAAAGGAGCACACAGCUUGAGAGGGAUGCUCCACAGCUUGGGCAUUGUAGUACACUCUUGUGUUUACUCAGUUGGAAGCAUCUCUCUUUAACCGCGUGCUUCUCCUCAAUGGAACUACUAUAUUCUCUUCCACGGCUUCUUCUGGUAUCUGGCUUUCUUCACUAGCUUCCUGACCUCCAUGUUGAUCACUUCCCCUUGAGUCAUCUUCACUUUGAACAUGAGAGUCUGCGCUUUGUUGUUGAUUUUCGGCUUCACUUGUUCCUUGAACUUCAGUAUCAGCAGAUUCACUUCCCCCUUCAUGUUCUAAGUGAGAUGAUUCUUCAACUCUAACAGGUGGUGUUGCUUGGCGUUUGUGCUGAUCUGAUGACACUCCAAUACCAAGUCCUUGCAAAAUGUUUCUCAAGCUUGCAGCCCUGUCUGAUGGUUGGGAUAGAUCUUCAAGUUCUUCCCAAUUCUUCCCAUCAUAAUAUCCCUUUUCUUCAAAGAACUUCACCUCCCUUGAUACCAAUACUCUUCUGGUAUUUGGAUCAAAGCAUUUGUAUCCCUUUUGGGACGUAGAGUAUCCAAUCAUCAUAGCCUUGGUACUCUUCUCUUCUAGCUUGUUCCGCAUUUCCCCGGGUACUAGCACAUAGCACACACACCCAAAGAUCCUCAAGUGUUCCAGCACUGGCUUACUCUUGUUAAGAACCUCAAAGGGGGACUGAUCAUUGAGAAUCUUGGUUGGUGUCCUGUUGAUUAGGUAGCUUGCGGUCAUCACUGCAUCACUCCAAUGCCUCUUAGGCACACUUGUAUAGAACAUCAUUGAUCUCGCCACCUCCAUGAGGUGUCUAUUCUUCCUUUCAGCCACUCCAUGGUGUAUAAGGACAGCUUGUCUGAUGAAGUAUUCCAUGGCUAGCUAGAUGUUCUUUGAAUGCAUGACUUGUAUACUCCCCACCAUUAUCUGACCUGAAAAUCUUAAUCUUGGCAUUAUAGUGGUUAGUAACAUUGUUUUGAAAGUUUUUAAAUGCAUCAAGAACUCUAUCCUUUGUUUUAAUGAGUGUUAACCAGGUGUAUUUAGAUUUUUCAUCAAUGAAGGUGACAUAAUACUUGUAAUUAUCCCUAGAUAAACAAGGUGCAGUCCAAACAUCAGAGUGGAUUAAGUCAAAACACUUCUCAUAAACUGUAACUGAUCUUUGAAACACACUCUUACAAUGUUUUCCCAAAAUACAAGCUUCACAAUCAUUAUUUUUAAACAUGACACCUGGUAACAUUAUGCUUAAGGCCCUAACAUGUGGAUGUCCUAGCCUAGCAUGCCACAAAGCAUCCUUACUUAAAGAAACCGAGCUAAACGAAAAACAAGAACUAGAGAUAGGGGAGAGAUCUUCAAGCAUGUAAAGGUCUCCCUUAGUUGCUCCUUGGCCGAUCAACUUACUGCUCUUAAUAUCCUGAAACUUCACAUCAUUAGGACUAAAAAUAACAUUGCAAUCAAGAUCAGUAGUGCAUCUCUUGACAGAUAACAAGUUUGAAGUAAAUUCAGGCAUGUAGAAUGCAUUAGACUCUUUAUUAAACAGUUUCAACCUACCAAUGCCUCUAAUAGGAAUUCUAUCUCCAUUAGCAAUCAUGACAUGACCUUGGGUAGGUUCUAUAUCCGUAAUCAACCUGUUAUCACUAAUCAUGUGAUGAGAUGCACCAGAAUCAAUGAUCAAAGGUUUAUGUAUAUCCUUAGCUAGAUGACUUCUAGGAUGAUCAUUGUUAAUUUUUAAGUUCUCAAGUACUCCUAAGAGUUUAUUAGCAAUGCUAUGUUCAGUUUUACCAAUCAAGGGACUCUCUAGUAUGUCUAGCAACCUAUCAGUUCUACUAGACAUAGUAUGAGCAGCAAAAGAAUAACCAAGAGUAUUGGGUCUUAGUUUGUUACCAGACUCUUUAAGAGCUUUGAUGAGUGCAUCUAUGUCUGACUUCCUGAUCACCUCAUGCUCUAGGUUCUUUCCUCCUGAGUGGUGAGAAGAGAGAGCUCGCCCUUCACUCUCAUUCACUUGUGAGGAUGUACCAGCCCGGAUGCACUGCCACUGCUUGUCUCGGUGGACAUGUGAGCUCUGGCUUCUCUCUCCUUGUUGAAUUUGCUUGGCUUGAGGUGAGGGUGAAGUAUCCAGCAUUGGCUCUUCUUAUGGCCUGGCUUCUUGCAAUGAUCACAAUUCCCUUCAAAGCGGUCACCAUACUUCCUUCCAUCAUUCUUGUAACCCGCCUUGUUUGCUUGCACAUCCUCAGCCUGAUGAGCCAUAGGUAGCUCCCCCUUUCCUCCAAACAAGCCUAGAGAGCCUUCCUCCUUCUGCAGUUGAGAGCACACCUCCUCCAUUGUUGGUAGGCUUGGCGAUCUCAGCAUGUGCUUUAUGACAUCCUGGUAGCACACGUCUAAGGUCAUCAACAACCCAAACACUUGAUCCUGCUCUCUCCUCUCCAUGAUGAUCUCUUGAUCACUGGUGCUUGGGCGCAGGUUAUCCAGCUCAGACCAAAGAGCUCUGAACUUCCCAAUGUGUGUAGUAAGCUCCACACCACCUUGCAUCAAGGAGGUGAUGGCUUUCUUCAACUCAAACACACGGUUAAGGUUUGAGACAUCUCCAAAUGUCUUCUGGAGCGUCUCCCAUAGGUGCUUAGGUGUCUCACAGAAGAUGUAGGCUUCAAGCAAAGGGACUUCAAUAGAACUGUGUAGCACGGACAGCACCAUCAGAUCUUCUUGAACCCAUUUCUUCUUCACCUCAGCUUCAGUGAGUACUUUUCCACCCUCAGCUUCCUCAUUCCCUUUGGCCACUGGCUCUGGACCAUCAUCCGUGAUGUGGUUCCACAACCCUAGCCUCCCAAUAGCAGUCUUCACCAGCCGAGACCACAACAAGUAGUUUCCUACACCUUUUAAGGCAACCGGAACCGUAACAAGCUUACUGUAGUUUCCUUCCAUCUUCUCUUUGCCUCUAGUUACUUCUAGUCUUCAAUCUUGUACUUCAGUUGAGCUUCUACCACACCAGAUCUUCAAGAACACACGGGACCAAAGAACCAAGGGUAAGACACUUCAACACACUGACAAGACUUCCCGGAAGUAUCAAGAACAAACGCAAGAACACAAAGAAGGAAUGAGUAAGAAUCACACAAAGGAACUAAGAUCUCUCAAUACCAAAGCCAACCUGGCUCUGAUACCAUGAGAUUUUAGAGAUUUAAGAAGGUAUUGAGAGAUUAAGAAAGAUUAAAGAGAAGUUUAGAGAAAGAUUUAAACAAGUAUCAUGGUUUGAGAGUGAUUAAGAGACUUUGAGAUUUAAACUAGAGAGAGAGUAGAGAGAGAGUGAUUCAAUCUCGUUAAUUAUUAAUCUGAUGAGGUUACAACUUAUAUAGUAUGAGAGCUUAGGGUUUACAAGGUUUAAAGAUAAGCUAAAGCAUGUGAAGUCAACCAGGAGAGGAGCGCAUAUCAUAAAGCAUCCAAUGAGCUUCUUCCCGCGUGUGAAGCAUCUUGGAUCUUUGACUAGGAUGCUGACAGUCUGUCACAGCCUGGCACAGCCUGUCAGAUGCGCUCCUCAAGCUCUCUCAACGGUCUGAUCCAAGUAGAGCAUGGUAGAAGGUAAGAAUGAUCCGUUUACUCCACUCUUGGUUAAACGGUCAUGGUAACUUCUUCUUUACCUUGUACGGCCACCUUGUACGGCCUGUCCGUACACUCACAUCCCUAACUUCAUCCUCAAGCCUCUAACCUUCUCUAGCUUCAUAUCACCUAGUUGCAUCACCUCAUUUCAACAAAAAACGGUUACGACGGAAUUACCACCCGAAAAUCCUCGGAGAUCGUAUUUCCGAAAGAGAUAGUAAAAAGAAGGAUACAACUUUCGUAAAAUAUAACCAAUACUAUGUUUUUACGAAGAAGUACCCUUGAAGAUUCAAACCAAACAAACCAAGAUCGUAUUUCCGCGCAUACACGCCGUCCGGUCGCUACGUAGCAACUAAGUCCGGGCCGAUUUCGGCCGCUACAUAGCGACCGAACGUCCGACCCACACGGUCGCUACGUAGCGACCGAGCUCGAGCCAAAGCUCGGUCGCUACGUAGCGACCGAGCUCGAGCCAAAGCUCGGUCACUACGUAGCGACCGGGCUCGGCCAAGCUCGGUCGCUGUGUAGUGAUUGAACCCUUCCGAACAUCGAUAGACAUCAAUCCAUGCAUUCUCGUCAAACCAUCAAAUGCUAUCUCCCGAAGACCGUAGCAAGCUCAGUCUAUGUUUCUGCUAUUCUAAAUCAUCGAUCAAACUUUGCGAAUUAAAAACCGCGGAAAGUUCGUUCUUUAUCGAAAGAAUUCGUAGUAAACGUGUCGAGUCGGAAGACGGCCCAAAGGGACCUAAAACACGACUCGAGGUCCAUCCUACGAUUUCUUAACCAAAAGCCCGUAAACCACAGCACGGUUUACGCUUGGUCCACAAGGAAAGAUAAAUGUCAAGUUUCCGCGGAUAAAUACGGAAAUUUUGAAGAUAAUUGUGAAGAUCGGGAAUAAUGGAAUAUCUCCAUUUUUAUGCUAUGACGGCUUUAGGGCAGAAGAGUAAACGCGUAAACCGACCUUGGAGCUAGUAUAUAAGGAGUCCUAGGCGAGGAGCAUGAGGAGAGGGAACUUUUGAGAGCAAACUUAGCACUUAGAGCAAUUUAGGCAACUUUCCGUUUUUGUUAUUUCGAGUUGCGACUCAAUUAGGUUUAGCCGUCUUAGGGUUGCUAGAACUAGGAAUCUCGCUGACAGCUCUCGAGCCCAGGCUUAUACCUUGUUGUAAACGCUCAUACGCAAAUUCGGAAUAAGAUCUUCUUUGCUGUCUUUUUCGAUUUCUUAUACUUUAUCGUUGUUAUUCUCGUGUUCUGAUUGCUUGACGUGUGGUAAUUAGCAGAUAUCCGGGUCCUCUGGGAAAUUAGGGUUUUCCUAGUUUCCUUAUUUAAACGGAAAUCGACAGUGCGAAUUUCGGUUCCCACAAGCUCGUGGCACUAAUAUCAGCUACUUCUACUGUGCUCAGCUUUCCAGACUCAUGUUGCUCAUCAUCCCCCACCAUAUAUUCCAGCGUAGACCUUACCUCAAUCUCUAGAUUUGCUGCAGCAUCAUAGAGAAAUUGUUGAGGAAGGCGUAUCUGAUAUUAUUCCAAGUAGUGAGAGAUUCUGGUGGUAGCUUCUUCAACCAAUGAGCUGCAUCCCUAGCAAGAGAUUAUGGAAAUAGUUUGCAAAAGUAGUAGUCUUCAGAGACUCCAUUGCAUUUAAUGGUCGAUGCCAGAUCUACAAAUGUCUCCAGGUGGCUAGUGGGAUCGUCAUGAGGGAAACCAUGGAAAGAAUGCUGACCCACAAGAGAGAUAUAUGCAGGGUGUAGCUCAGGGACAGUAUUCUGAAGUGUUGAACGACGCAAUGCAGUCCUUUUAGCAUAUGCAUCCUCAGGACUGUUAUAGUCUCUAAUUGCCUUCGAUCGUCCAGUCCUAACAUACACAUUGGUAGCAUCAGGGAUUGUAGAAGGUAUCGAUCGAUGACAAAUAUUUGUAUCGAUCGUUUUUGAAGUGCGGAUAUCGAUCGAUUCUGAGUUACUACUGUCGAUCGAUGCUGAAGUCGGAUCUUUUGUAUCAGCUUCUUCUACUUUGCUCUGCUCUCCUGAUACAUGAUAUUCAUCAUCCUCAACUGUAUCAUGGUUGACAAGCUUUCUCUGUUCAGUUCGUCCUUCUGCUUACUCUCAUCUGCAUGGUGAACCUGAAUGUCUGGCUGCGUGACAUGAGUUGUCGGUGUUCCAAUAUCUCCAUUCUCCUCGCUGUAGACGAAGUCAAAAAUCUGACUCAUACUAAUCAUUAUUCCUUUCUCCCGUUCUUUAAUCAUGUAAUCAAGCCUUUUACUUCGAGUUUCUACAGCCUCGCUGAAAAAUUUGCUUAUGAAAGCCUCUUUGAUGUCUUCCCAGCAGGUUAAAGAUCUUGGUUGCAGCUUACUGAACCAGCUAAAUGCAUCUCCAGAUAAACAAUAGGGGAAGAUCUUGAAGAAAAUGUGGUCUGCAGAUAUUUCAUCGUGCUUGUUUGCUGAGGCUAACUCCUCAAGUCUUUUGAUAAGAUCUUUGGGAUCCUCAUGAGGAAGACCGUAAAAUGGAUCCACACUUCCCCAAUCAUACCAUUGACUUGUCAGAUUAAAGGUAUUCGUCUCAGCCACAGCAAUUACAUCAGGGAUUAAACUACCCUCUGCAUUAAUUAAUUGUCUUGUGAGGCUGCAAGGACGACAUUCUUCGUCUCGCCAAAUACCUUUCUUGUCGAUCUUAAGUAUGAGCGCUUCGACCUUCUCUGUCUCUCCGUAAGUGGUGUUCGUCAUUGGAGGAACAGUGCCGCGAUAAAUAGUAUUUCGAUGAACAGUGUUCGGGUGAACAGUAUCGCGAUGAACAGUAUUCGGGUGAACAGUGUCACGAUGAACAGUGUCCGGAUGAACAGUAUUCGGAUGAACAGUGUUCGGGUGAACAGGGUCGAGCGACGGUAUAUGAACAGUGUCGAUCGACAAAGAUGAAUAGUGUAGACCGACACGGGAUAAACAGUAUCGAUCGAUGGGACAUGAAUAGUGUCGACCAACACGGGAUGAACAGUGUCGAUCGACGGGAUAUGAAUAGUGUCGACCGACACGGGAUGAACAGUGUUGAUCGACGGGAGAUAAAUAGUGUCGCGAUGAAUAGUAUCGCGAUGAACAGUACUAUGAUGAAUAGUAUUUUGAUGAACAGUGCCUGGAUGAACAGUACCUCGAUGAAUAGUACAUCGGUGAAUAGUUUUGCGGUGAACAGUACCCGGAUGAAUAGUACCGCGUGAAUAGUGUUUUCCGACACAUGAUGAAUAGUGUUGUUCGAUGCUUGGCUCACGCUAUCGAUCGAUGCUGCUUGGAGGGUGUCGAUCGAUACUUUCCUAUUAAGCUUACGGAUCGUGCAUAAACCAGCAGGCUCCUUCCUUGAAGGAUCUAGAAAUCCUCUCUUCAUUGUUUUCUGGUACUAAGAGUUAUGUACCUGAAAUAGAAGAAAAAAUUUUAUGAGUUUUUUGAACAGUAACAAAACCUAGACUAAAUCUAACUAAACAAGAUCUAAUGGCGCCAAAUUUGAUAUCACUCAAAUUACCCUAAAGAGUGUUACUCUCAUCAAAAGAGGUCGAGUUAUAGUACUUAGGGAUCGAAUCCACAAGGAGCUAGGGAACCGAUUAGAUCUAAUAAUUUUAUGAUUAAGCUAGGCUAAUAGGUUUUAGAGCAGUAAAAUAAAUAUAGUAAACUAGAAAGCGGUAAACAAGAUGAACAAGAUAAUUGUUCAGCUUCGCAAGGGUUGUUUGAUGGAAUGAUGGUUGCUAGAUUUAGGGUUUCUAUUCAGGUGUUGGAGAUUAUAAUAUCUAUAGAUGCAUAAUUGUUGCAUGCAUGAUAUGUUAGAGCUCAACCACUUAACUCAGUGAUCAGCUGUCACAUGUUUCACUGGUUAACAAAGUAGAUCUCGUGUCCCAACGGUUAGUAUGCCGACAACGAGAGAGUGUCGAUCGAUGGUCUAUUAAGACGUCGACCGAUACACCUUUUCCUACGUCGACCGAUAAUCAGUUGAGGACAUCGAUCGACGGGUUCUAGCUAGGCCUAUGCUCGAGUAUGAAAUGCCCUAUUAAGAUAUUAAAUUGGCAGUUAACUCUCUCUAGCAAUCCUAUUAUGAUAGAUAGAUGUCAGGAUGGGAUAACAAGGAUGCUUGUGUAUGCAAUCCUAUGAUCAAUAUUCUAGUUAAUUACUCUAGAACAAGCAAUAAGUAUAGAUCUAUCAUGAAUAUCACAACAAGGCAGAUCUAUAGUUUGGGGCUAAUCCCACAAACCUAUCUGAACCCUAAACCUAACAGGUGGAUCUACUCAGAAAUGAAAACAUAAAUCAUAGAUGAAUAGAUAUAAACUGAAAUGAAACAGAUCAAUAAAACCUAUGGAGUUCCAGGAGGACUCUGAUAGGAGUUCCUUCCGUCUCUCCUAAGAGAAAAAAUGGAAAUGAAAGCGUGUAAAAAGUGUAAAGAAGUGGUAGCCGUCAACAAUGGCUUAGAAAUGACAUAAAUAGGGUUUCUGGUCGUCCAAGGGCAUUUUGGUAAUUUGUGGCUUCUAGGGCUUCACGCAGUCAUAAAAUAUACAAGGCCCAUUAUCUGGGAUCUCCAUCGAUCGACGUGCAGAGUGCUGCAUCGAUCGACGCGGCUUCCUCUUCUCGGCAGCUUCCUCUCGCGAGGCAGACUGACCACUCUUCAGUAAAACAGGCAUAACUUCUGCUACAGAAUGCUGAUUGACCUGAGACCGGUGGCAUUGGAAAGCUAACUCAAAGCUCUAUCUUGUAUCUAAAUAUGAGCUGACUCUAACGGUCGGAAAGUCUCCAUCCAUGGCUAAACAUCUGACGCGUCUGUGCAACUCUGCACCUCCAAAGGCUCCAAAAGACUCCAAAAUCACCAUAUUUCUCCUAAACGUCCCUGAACCUGUAAAUACUCUAAAUAAACUCCAAAACAUAAUAAUUGUAUCUUAAAACAUUUUAAAACACUUUAAUGACCAUGACUUAAAAUGGGUAAAAUAUAUGGUCUAUCAGUCACACUCGUUAGGGUAAUUUGAGUGGUAUCAAGGAUUCAAAAGAGAACCCAAAGGAGGACAUUUCUGAGGCCCUACCGGUCGCUACGUAGCAAGUGAAGGUCUGACAGGUCGCUACGUAGCGAGUGGAAGCGAGCCAAGAAGAGUCCUACUUUUUUCGUCGUAAAAUCUCAACGGAAACUCUGAUUGAGACGAAACGAAAAGCGUUUCGAUGAGGAUUCAAAAGAGAACCCAAAGGAGGACCUUUCUGAGGCCUUACCGGUCGCUACGUAGCGAGUGAAGGUCAGACAGGUCGCUACGUAGCGAGUGGAAGCGAGCCAAGAAGAGUCCUACUUGUUUUCGUCGUAAAAUCUCAAUGGAAACUCCGAUUGAGACGAAACGAAAAGCGUUUCGAUGAGGAUUCAAAAGAGAACCCAAAGGAGGACCUUUCUGAGGCCUUACCGGUCGCUACGUAGCGAGUGAAGGUCAGACAGGUCGCUACGUAGCGAGUGGAAGCGAGCCAAGAAGAGUCCUACUUGUUUUCGUCGUAAAAUCUCAAUGGAAACUCCGAUUGAGACGAAACGAAAAGCGUUUCGAUGAGAAUUCAAAAGAGAACCUAACGGAGGACCUUUAUUAGGCCUUACAGGUCGCUACGUAGCGAUUGGAGAGUUGGCUUGAGCUCGGUCGCUACGUAACGACCGAGCCGUGUGCGUGCUCGGUCGCUACAUAGCGACCGAGCUGUGUGCGUGCUCGGUCACUACGUAGCGACAGAGCAGUGUGCAUACUCGGUCGCUACGUAGAGACCGAGCAAUAUGCGUGCUCGGUCGCAACGUAGCGACCGAGCAAUGUGCGUGCUCGGUAGCUACGUAACGACCGAGCAGUGUGUGUGCUCGGACGCUAUCGACCGGGCAGUGUGCGUGCUCGGUCGCUAAGUAGCGACUGGGUAAAUUAAUCCGUACCCCCCCCCCUCCUUCUAGCGCCAAACUGUGGGAACCGAAAUUCGCACUGUCGAUUUCCGUUAAAUUAGGAAAGUAGGAGAACCCUAGUUUCCCAGUGGUCCCAGAUAUCUGCUAAUAUCACACACUAAGCAAUCAGAACACGAGAUAACAACGACAAAGUGUAAAAAUCGUAAAAAGAGAGCAAAUAAAAGUCUUAUUCCCAAUUUGCGUAUGAGCGUGUUUACACCAAGGUAUAAGCGUGGGCUUGAGAGCUGUCGGCGAGAUUCCUAGUUCUAGCAACCCUAAGAAGGCUAAACCUAAUUGAGUCGCAGCGCGAAAUAACAAAAACGGAAAGUUGCCUAAUUGCUCUAAGUGCUAAGUUUUCUCUGAAAUAUGCAUCUCCCCAUGCCUCUCGCCUAGGACUCCUUAUAUACUCGCUCCAAGGUCGGUUUACGCUUUUACUCUUCUGCCCUUAACCGUCAUAGCUUAAAAUGGAGAUAUUCUUUUUUUUUCGAUCUUUGUAAUUAUCUUCAAAAAUUUGUAUUUAUCCGCGGAAACUUGACAUUUAUCCUUCCUUGCGCGCUAAGCGUAAACCGUCCUACAGUUUACGGGCUUUUGGUUAAGAAAUCGUAAGAUGGGCCUCGAGUCGUGUCUUAGGUCCCUCUGGGCCGUCUUCCGACUCAAAAUGUUUAUUACGACUUCUUUCGAUAAAGAACAAACUUUCCGCGGUUCGUACCGCAAAGUUUGAUUGAUGACUUAGAAUGGCGGAAAACAUGAACUGAGUUCGCUACGGUCUUCGGGAGAUAGCAUCAAAGGAUAGACGAAAAUGCAUGGACUGGUGUCGUAUCGACGUUUCGGAAGAGCUCGGUCGCUACGUAGCGACCAAAUGGAAAGCACAUUCGGUCGCUACGUAGCGACUGAGCGGGACGGAUGCUCGGUCGCUACGUAGCGACCAAGCGGGACGCGUGCUCAGUCGCUAUGUAGUGACCCAGCUUGGCUCGAGCUCGGUCGCUAUGUAGCGACCGAGCAGUACGCGUGCUCGGUCGCUACGUAGCGACCGAGCUUUGGCUCGAGCUCGGUCGCUACGUAGCGACCGAGCUGUGUGCAUGCUUGGUCGCCGCGUAUCGAUUGAGCUUGGCUUGUCCGCGGUCUGAUUGCUUUACUCGAGCUUGUCCGCGGCCUAUUUGGAUACAUGUCCGUUGCCUUCGGACAGUCGGUAUUUAGUGGUUCGAUUGAGAUUUGAACAAAAUUUUACCGCAAGGUUCUUCGUAAAGAUUUCUUUACGAAUAUUACCUUUCGUAAAAACGUUCAUGUUGAUUUUUACGGACUUUCAGACAUUGAUUCCGUCGUGACCGAUUUUGACUCCAACAAUUAUUCUGGUAUAUCUCAUUGGUUGUUCUGGUAGUGUCUCAUGAAAUAGGUACACAAUUAAUCAUCACCAUUUCGGUCAAUAGAGGAAUACAGUUAAAUGAGGAUAAAAAACUUAUACACUCAUCUACAUUACUACACAGUUUAUUACGGCAGCAUCUUAGGUUAACUGGAGAUAUAUUGUUUCUUUAUACCCCUUUGUUUAGCUCGAAUGAGAUUUCUGGUAACCAUGAAAAAGAUGGUGGUACUUUACGGAGUGCAGGAUUGUUUCUAUCUUUCAAUAAUAUGAUUAGGAAUACUGGAUUACUGGAACUUCAUGGGGAAAUCAAAUGUAUUGGCAAAGAAGAAGAAAUAAGGUAAUGAUUAGAUGUCAGCUGGAGCGAGCACUAGCAAACGAAGACUAGUAUGUGCUUUUUCCAUGUUCUUGUACAAAAUAUUUAGAGAUGGUGGGUUUUGAUCAUCGGCCAGUAGUGACUUAUUUUGAGAAUAAAGUACCAAGGAGACGGAAAAAUUUCGGUUUGACAAAAGAUGGAUUGGACAUGAUGAUUUGUUGGAAUCAAUUGGGAGAGGUUGGGGUGACUCGCCAGCAGAGAACUCAGGGGAUUUUGUAUCGAAAAUCAUUAAUUGCCGCCAUUAGAUCGCUACAUGGCGAAAUAAUAAUCCACCACAUGGAAAGAAGCGAAUUAGUGAGCUUCAAAAAACAAUGGAAGAAGUUCAAACUGAUAAUAAUAUAACGCAAAAGACAUAUUGGAAGUAUCUAGGAAGUUACAAGAAGCAUAUAAAGAUGAGGAAGAUUUUUGGCAACAGAAAAGUCAUAAUAUGUAGGAAGUGCGAUUUCUCUCUCUACCACGGUUUUUAAGAUUGGUCCUUAACCAGCGGUCCGUUAGCAUACGCUUUUCUUCGUUACCCAGUUGUAUUACCUCUUUUAGCUAAAACCUCUGAAACUUCGCCUUUGUUUUUUCAAAUUCUUUCCCUUCCGGGAUAAAACCUUUGGAUAUCUCAAGUCUCUGCAGCCUUACCCGCCGGGUUCUUCCCCCGACCCAGGUCGGAGGGACCGCCGCAGCUCCGCCUCCUCAAGAUACACCAGUCUAUCGAUGUUACCGGAGUCGUCAUCUUACUCUCCCUGAGUUCUCUUGCCACAACCCCCAGCGCCUCCACCCUGUGUCUCCACUUCUCGUACCAAAACCAUAAAUCCCUUCUGCUGUUUCGUUUCAAAAAGUUGAAGAGCUUUUAGUCAGGCUGUUGGUUUGGUUGUUUUUGCAAAGCUACCUCAGCGUGAGGAUAUUUCAAGGAACCUCGGUAUUUUCUAAGUUUGAAAGGCGUUCUCUACUCUAGUUGUUGCCUUUGUGUGAGGUUCUUCUGAAGAAGGAACCUUGGUUACUAUUCUCAAUUUACCUAUGUUCUAAGGUAGAGCUACUCUUCCCUAAAGAAAAUCUCUUUAGCCACUUGCUCUCUGCUAGUCAUGUCGAGCUGUUACUCUAGACGUGAGAAAGAGAAAUGGACCGUUGAAAAGCAAAGUCGACGGAAACCACCUCUUAUCAUCCCAUAAUCAAACUGUGCAGAGCUUAUAUAGGCAAAUAAGUUCACCUUCAUCGGAAGAGUUACAAACCCUAAAGAGCAAAAGACAAGGUCCCUCGUCGACUUAUUCCUCCAGCACUGGAAUGUAGUCGGACGCAUUACCGGAAGUGCUUUGGGUCCAAAUCUCUUUCAGUUCCAAUUUGAAUCAGAACGAGACUUUCUCUCCAUUCUCAAAAAGGGCUCCUUUCACUUCAAGAAAUGGAUGAUGCUUCUGCAGCGAUGGGAGCCAACGGUUGCUAACGACUUCCCAGCUAACAUCUCCUUUUGGGUCACGAUUCAUGGACUCCCCCUACUACUGGAAUGACCAGACUAUCAGCAUGAUUGGAAACGACCUUGGCAAAAUCGAGGUGAAAGAUAUUGACCACGCUAGGAUCAAAGUCCUCGUAAAUGGCCUCAAACAAUUAGAAAUGAGGAAUGAUAUCCAACUUCCCUCGGGUGAAGUCCCAGAAGUGGAGUUAUAGUAUGAAAAUUGGAAAAACAUUGCUUCAUUUGGCAUUUGCUUACUCACGAAAAAGAAGACUGCCCACUGAAAAAUGAUAAGCACAGAGGCGCUAGCUCAAUGAGAAUCGGUAUCAGUCACCAAAAAACUAUUGAUCGAAUGGAGGAUAUCAGAAGGAAAGGCUGGGAAAAGAGACCCGAAGGCCAAACCUCUAAUGAUCUAUCCUCUAGAGAAAGAGCUUACUACCCUAGGGGUGAUGAUCACACAACUUCUCAUCACAAAGACGUACAGGGUGCCUAUAGGAAUACUAGAGCGGGAGGCUCUAUGUCGUACUACAGAGAGGUUUCACGACCCUCCUCUGGCGUGGAGGCUCAGCACCGUGUCAAUAGAGACAGACCAAGACUACUGGAGAUUGCUGAAUCAAGCCAUCGAAGAAUCCGAUAUGAAUCUGAUCCUAAAACCCCUUCAAACUAGUCCCUCCAGCGUGAGGUCUCUAAACAAAGGAGCGACAACAGAGGAUCCCUGAGGGGAGAAGUAAACUUAAAACAAGGCCAUUCCCCCCUCCAAGGCUCUGAUUUUGCUGCUCAGGCUCUGCUCCAUAGCUCUGGAGAGCGACCCCCUGCAAAGGAGAGACUCUCGUUUCCCCCAAGCAGAAAUGAUCUCAGGUCGAGACUCGGCCGUAACUCAGUCCAGCCUAAAGCACCGUUACAGGAUGUGGAAAUCCAGUAUAUUGAGGACACGAUGCCACUGCAUGUGCACAACUCAGGUCAUCUAUCUAGUUUGAAGCGCGCUUCUCUGGAAGGUGAUCAACUUGGAUUGUCCUCUAUUAGAUCCCUAAGCGAGGAUAGACGUCAUGUUUCCCACAGAUUGGGUCCACUUAAUCCAAUGCCUGAUGAUGAGGAAGAAGGCCUGGACCAAAGACAUCUGGUUUUAAAGGAUACCUCUAAGGCUGCAGUUACGAGGAAGGCUCAAUCACAGAUGCCUAAACCUUCAUACAGCAAACACCCUCGACAAAGCCUACUCUUCCAUAGUGUUUCAGUAAAGAAAAGGUGUGUCGUAAAAGCACAACCACAUCCGAGGAUGUUUUUACAACAAGGAGCUUCUCGUCCCGAAGGCCGAGUUUGAGCCUCACUCGGUUGAUCCUACGGAAGGCGAGGCAUAUUUGGUUGCAUGAUGUGGCUUGAUCACUCCCCCUGUCGAGGCACCUUAUCCCAACAGGUCCCCUCAAAAGAUUAACCAUGACUUGUCGAGCAGGAGUACGCAUUCGUUUCUGAAGAUCGUUCGGAAGUUCGCUCGGAUUUUCAAAGAAGUGGAGUUUCGAGUCCCUCGCGAUGGUGAGACUGCAGAGAAUCCCCCGGAUGGCUACUUCACAUGUUACGAGGCAUUCCGGCUGCGUUGUCGCUUGUGGUUCCCUAAUCCAGAGAUCAUAGACCGUGUUCUCGAGAGUUUCAAAAAUAUCAAUAGGUCAGCUGAGCCUCGCUGGCUUGGAGCACCUCAUCGGUUUGGUGAUCCUUACGAGCAUAGCCUAACCCUUACUGUUGAUCACUUCGAGGCUUUUCUACGUCUGCAGAAUGUUUUGGGUUCUAUGUUCCGCCCAACUCCCCGUACCAAUAUGUCGGUGAUCAAGAAGACCACCCCUCAUCCGUCGAGGAAGGAUGUAUUCCGGUGUUUCAACGAUCGCCCUUUCAUAAGCCCCUUGCACCCGUUUUGAUACACCCUAAAUUAGGGAAGGAUCACUCAAUCGGACUAAAGAGAUAUGAACUCGCCAAAAGGGAGAACUGGUGGAAUGAAUGGUGACACAAGAGGGGCGUAAAGUCUCUUGAUACUACCAGACUUCAGUUGUUACAUGAUAUGAAGCACAAGUCCAACAAAAGAAGGGUUUCUAAGCGUUGGUUGAUAUGACGCACAAGUCCAACGAAAUAGAAAAUGUUUACUCGGAGAUAACCUCACCAAAAAACAAGAAGUGUUCUACAAAGAACAAAGAGUAUGAACUCAAAAAUAAGAAGAAAAAUCGAUUGUAUUACUUCAUGAAAGGGAUUACAUAUUUAUAGUACUUGUGGUCAAAGAAAGACAUAAAUAAAUGCGGAAAAACAUAUCUUGGAAAUAACAAAGAUUGGCUAGAAAAUAAUAAAGAUAGUCAAAGAAUUGAUAAAUUACCCUAAGGAGUGAUUUAUACUCUCUUUGUUGGGGUGAAAACGGUUACGACGAAGUUAAUGUCCAAACCUCCGCAAAAACAAGUGUGAGUGUCUUUCUGCGACAAUUAUGCUUGGUAAAAAUGUCACGACACAUGAUCUCGAGAUUAAACCUUGUUCGAGUCUCGGUUGGAUCAAACACAAGCUGUCCCAAGGUAACGGAAACGUAUCUAAACCAGCCACGGAUAAGUUCGGGUGUGACGAUUGGAACACGGACAAGCCAAGCUCGGUCACUACGCAACGACCGAAAAGAUGGCCCAAAGGGACCUAAGACAUGACUCGAAGCCCACUUUACGAUUUCUUAACCAAAAACCCGUAAACCGUAGGACGGUUUACGCUCGGUUCGCAAGGAAAGAUGAAAGAUAAAUGUCAAGUUUCAGCGGAUAAAUACGAAGUUUUGGAAGAUAAUUACGAAGAUCGGGAAAAAUAGAAUAUCUUCAUUUUUUAUCUAUGACGGCUUAAUGGCAGAAGGAGAAAAGCGUAAACCGGCCUAGGAGCGAGUAUAUAAAGAGUCCUAGACGAGAGGCAUGAGGAGGACAUUUUUCAGAGAAAACUUAGCAUUUAGAGCAAUUAGGCAACUUUCCGUUUUUGUUAUUUCGAGCUGCGACUUAAUUAGGUUUAGCCGACUUAGGGUUGUUAGAACUAGGAAUCUCGUCGAUAGCUCUCGAGCCCAAGCUUAUUACCUUGUUGUAAACGCUCAUAUGCAAAUUCAGAAUAAGACUUCUCUUUGCUCUCAUUUUACGAUUCCAUAUACUUUAUCGUUGUUAUCUCGUGUUCUGAUUACUUGGUGUGUGGUAUUAGCAAUAUCCGGGACCUCUGGGAAAUUAGGGUUUUCCUAGUUUCUUAAUUUAAACGGAAAUCGACAGUGUGAAUUUCGGUUCUCACACUCUCAAAUAAGAGGUUGAGUUGAAGUACUUACGGAAACCAAUUAGAUCUAAUAGUUAUAUGAUUAAGCUAGGCUGAUAGUUUAUAAAAUAGUAAAUCUAUAUAAUAAUAGGAGAGUUUCUCUCCUUCUAAGAGUGUCCACGUCACCAGGUGGUAGACCCCACUCAAUAUUAUUUUUUCUUCUGUCGUGUGAGUUUUGUGGGCUUUGAACUAUUUUUUUUCUUUUCCAUGUCGACUGGGAUUUUUUGGGAUGUCAUAGGUUUAGGGUUUGUCUUUCUCUUUGAGAUUGUUCUACGACAGUGGGGCGUUUCCGAUUUCGCCGCAUUCAUUUACGUAAGACCAACUCUUCGACUCUUCCCUACACGUUCUCUGAUGACGAGACCAUUCCUCUUCCUGUAACGCCUUUUCCAGGCUCCUUUAUAUAGACCUUCACCAAGACCUUCACCAAGGUUAGAGCAUCUCUAAAAGCCCCCUUGAAACUUUAAAUGUAAUGUUUUGUACACUCCAAAAGCAACCUUAAAACCUUAAAUUUUAAGGUUUUGUACAGUGAAACCUCAAAUAUAAGAUUUCACUGUACAAAACCUUAUAUUUAAGGUUCCUUACUUUUUCAGUCCUUGUAUUUGUGUACUUUUUAAAUAAAGCUAAUAACUUUCUUAUCUGAUCAGUUUAGUCCUUUUUAAUAUCAAAAUAUUUAAUUAACACUAAUAAAUAUUAUACAAAGAUAAUAUUACAGCAAACAAAUACAAAAUACAAGAAACUAAAAAUAGAAUAUUACACAAAAUAAAAUAUUUCACAAAAUAAAAUGUUGGGGUCAAAAUCGGUCACGACGGAAUCAAUGCCUGAAAGUCCGUAAAAAUCAGCAUGAACGUUUUUACGAAAAAUUAAUCUUCGUAAAGAUAUCUUUACAAAGAGCCUUGCGGUAAAAUCUUGUUCAAACCUCAAUCGAACCACUAAAUACCGAUUGUCCGAAGGAAACAGACAUAUAUCCAAUUCGGCCGAGGACAAGCUCGAGUACGGCAAUCGGACCAUGGACAAGCCAAGCUCGAUCGAUACGCGGCGACCAAGCAUGCACACUGCUCGGUCGCUAAGUAGCGACCGAGCACCCGUCCCGCUCGGGCGCUACAUAGCGACCGAGCUCGAGCCAAGCUCGGUCUCUACGUAGCGACCGAGCGUCCGUCCCGCUCGGUCUCUACGUAGCGACUGAGCUCGAGCCAAGCUCGGUCGCUACGUAGCGACUGAGCUCGAGCCAAGCUCGGUCGCUACGUAGCGACCGAGCGUGCGUUCUGUUCGGUCGUUACGUAGCGACCGAACUCUUCCAAAACGUCGAUACAACACCAAUUCAUGCAUUCUCGUCUAUCCUACGAUGCUAUCUCCCGAAGACCGUAGCGAACUCAGUUCAUGUCUUCCGACCAUUCUAAGACAUCAAUCAAACUUUACGGUAAAAACCGCGGAAAGUUCGUUCUUUAUUGAAAGAAGUCGUAAUAAACGUUUCGAGUCGGAAGACGGCCCAAAGGGACCUAAGACACGACUCGAGGCCCAACUUACGAUUUCUUAACCAAAAGCCCAUAAACUGUAUGACGGUUUACGCUUGGCGCGCAAGGAAGGAUAAAUGUCAAGUUUCCACGGAUAAAUACGAAAUUUUGAGGAUAAAUACGAAGAUCGGAAAAAUGGAAUAUCUCCAUUUUAUGCUAUGACAGAUUAAGGGCAGAAGAGUAAAAGCGUAAACCGACCUUGGAGCUAGUAUAUAAGGAGUCCUAGGCGAGAGGCAUGGAGAGGACUUUUUAGACUCGGAAUUCUCUGCACUUAGAAACUUUAGGCUUUAUUCUCGACAAGUUCGGUUUCUAUGACUGACACUCAAUUACUAGACGAACUCGCCCUGGCAGUUCGAUCUCUUGUCCAGCUCUAUCAAUCGAACUACGUUCGGCUUGAUCCUCGAAAGGGGUACGUAGGCAGCCAUUAACAAGGUUCAGUCCGAAAUCAAUCAAAAACCUUUUAUGUAUCUUUUUCGUCUUUUGUUAUCGAGCUGCGACUCAACUAGGUUUGAGCUUUUAGGAAGCUAGAACUAAGUAACUCGCUGACAGCCUUUGCGGCCAAAGCUCUUAUGAUCUCUUGUAAUGAUCGCAACGCUCUUACCCGGACUCGAAAUAAGAUCUAAUGUUUUCUCUAAACUCGUUUGUUAUCUUUUCAUGAUUUCCGCAUAUAUUCGGUCACUUGUCGUUGGCUCUCGCAGAGAUCCGGGACGUCUGGGAAAUUAGGGUUUUCCUAGUUUCCUUAUUUAAACAGAAAUCGACAGUGCAAAUUUCGGUUCCCACAGUUUGGCGCUAGAAGGAGGGGGGGGGUUACGGAUUACUCUUACUCAUAGCCGCAAAACGCUUGAUCGAAACGAUGUCUGGAUAUAUGAAAGACAAACUCGCAGCACUGACUGCUCCUAUGGUUAACGCUUGCGCAAACGCUGUAUUGUUCAGCAAAAUCGAAAACUUAGUCGCGACCUUCCGCCACAGGAAGAGCACUAAAACAUGCUCGCGAUUUCUCUUUCUAAACAUAAAGGGAAACGAUAAAUCUUAUCAAACCCCGUAAGUUUGGCUCAUUACCGAAAAAAGAAAUCUCGAUGCGUAAGGGUUUUACCAAAACACGUUUUCCGAAAACAUUUCGGAAGGAUAAAACUUGUUCUCCCAAAAACUGCUGAAAAACCCCUAGGCUAAUCGCCGAAAACGGAAACACAACAAAACAAUUACACAGCUCGGUCGCUACGUAGCGACCGCACAUGCACACGCUGCUCGGUCGCUACGUAGCGACCGAGCACACACACGUAGAGACCGAGCACACAUACUGCUCGGUCGCUACGUAGCAACCGAGCACGCACACACUGCUCGGUCGCUACAUAGCGACGAGCACACACACUGCUCGGUCGCUACAUAGCGACCGAGCACACACACUGCUCGGUCGCUACGUAGCGACCGAGCACGUACACACUGCUCGGUCGCUACGUAGCAACCGAGCACGCACAGCUCGGUCGCUACGUAGCGACCGAGCACGCACACACUGCUCGGUCGCUACGUAGCGACCGAGCAAGCACACCGCUCGGUCGCUACGUAGCGACCAAGCUCAAGCCAACUCUCCACUCGCUACGUAGCGACCUGUAAAGCCUCAGAAAGGUCCUCCUUUGGGUUCUAUUUUUAAUCUUCAUCGAAACGCUUUUCGUUUCGUCUCAAUCGGAGUUUCCGUUGAGAUUUUACGACGAAAACAAGUAGGACUCUUCUUGGCUUGCUUCCACUCGCUACGUAGCGAGCUGUCAGACCGUCAGUCGCUACGUAGCGACCUGUAAAGCCUCAGAAAGGUCCUCCUUUGGGUUCUCUUUUGAAUCCUCAUCGAAACGCUUUUCAUUUCGUCUCAAUCAGAGUUUCCGUUGAGAUUUUACGACGAAAACAAGUAGGACUCUUCUUGGCUUGCUUCCACUCGCUACGUAGCGACCUGUCAGACCGUCAGUCGCUACGUAGCGACCUGUAAAGCCUCAUAAAGGUCCUCCUUUGGGUUAUCCUUUGAAUCCUCAUCGAUACGCUUUUCGUUUCGUCUCAAUCGGAGUUUCCGUUGAGAUUUUACGACGAAAACAAGUGGGACUCGUCUCGGCUCCCUUUCACUCGCUAUAGCGACCGAGAUGACAUCCUCACUCGCUAUAGAGUCAGGCCUCAAAGGGGUCCUCCUUUACGUUCUCCUUUGAAUCCUCAUCGAAAUGCUUUUCGUUUUGCCUCAAUCGGAUUUUCCGUCGAGAAUUUACGACGAAAACAAGUUGGACUCGUCUUGGCUCCCUUCCACUCGCUAUAGCGACCGAGAUGACAUCCUCACUCGCUAUAGCGACCUGUCAGGCCUCAAAGGGGUCCUUAUUUGCGUUCUCCUUUGAAUCCUCAUCAAAACGCUUUUCGUUUCGUCUCCAUCGGAGUUUCCGUUGAGAUUUUAUGACAAAAACAAGUAAAACUCAUCUUAAACUCCUUGGCUUGUUCCUGCUCGCCCUACCUCCAUCUUUGCGUUCACUUUCGAAUCUCGAUCGAAACGUCUCUUGUUUCUAUCGGAGUUACCAUUGAAACUUUACGAUAAAAAAACAAAAAAAAAACCGCAAAGACUUGUUUUCUCGCAUGGAUUCAGGUUAAUCGUAUAAAACAGCAGCGGUUAACUUAACAUCUUAGCCGCCUUAACUAUACGAUUACGUUGAAUCUUUUUACGAAAAUCGACGUCUUAUCUAAGGAAAAUAUAACAGUCAAGUUUCAAAGGAUAAACACCAAUAUCGGAAAUGGCGAACAUACACGAGAAGAGGAAAGGGAAAUGAGCAAGCAAAACUGAGAAGAGACAAAACUGUAUCUUCGAGAGGACUAAGAUCUUGCAAACCGAUCUAAACUCUCCGAAAGUCGAGAAACGAUCGCCGCGCAUAUCAAGCUCGCUUCCUAAAGAGAGAAAAAGUUAGAGACAUGAACGUCGUCUUAAAACCGAUUCGUUUCUGGCAAUUUUCUCGGAACCGACAUAUCCCAAGUCGUCAACGUGGAAACAACCAAAUCACAGUCCAAGCGUCAUCUAUAAAUCGUCUCGAAUUAUAGAUCAUUCCAAACAUCAGAAGAGGAAACGUACACAACCCUUCAAAGUAUCGGUUCAACCGUUUUCUUUCGUAAAAAAAAAAAGGGGGAGUAGGUACGUAUACUAUACUCGUAUACUCCCAAACUUCAAAAUCUUCCGCAAAUCGUCAAGAAUAGGCAAACGACAAUCUUAAUAUUCGUCUAAACGCUAGCAACAUAUCCAGACGAUCAUGAACAUAAUCUCAAAAACUAUACAUCAUUUCUUGUCGCAAUCAUGCGUACAGAAAACUUGUACCAAUAUCAAACUGAAACUCGACGAUUGUAUUGAAGCCUUUUCCGGCUUCAGAAAGCCAGUUUCGUUUUAAAAAAAAUUUCUACGAGAAAUCUUCAGUCACCAAAGCAUUUCUUUCAGUUUCCGUUGUACCAAGUAAGUCACGGAAAAGCAUCGAAAACAUUUGCGACGAAGAAAACUCGAGAAUAGAUGUAGCAUCGUGCACAUUAAAAGGAGCACUUUCCUCCCGAUGGUUAGCUAGAUUCACCUCUGGUUGACCAAUUCGUUCAACAAACGAAUGUGUCAUGAGAAUCCUCUCGAAAAACCUACGAAAAACGUUAUGCGACUAGAUCGUAUUGAAAUAAACUUCGGUAACACUCCAUGAGUAACUCCAAGCAACUUUCACCUAAGAGCAAAAUCACAGCGGGAACGCUUCUCGUAAAACCCGCAGAAACAAUGCUACUUUGACAUAUGUAUACAUAUCACUGAUUUACGACCUUCGUAAAGUCGGUUAUAUGAUAUGAUAAAUUAUCGUAUAGCUCAUAGUCGGAAAUCAUAUGAUAAAUUCUUCGUAACGAAACUAAGUCCUAACAACCAAACGGUUAACGGAAAAUCUAAACUUUUCGACAAUCGACCAAGUUUGAUACAUUCCACAAUUCACUUUAAGCCCGCUAUUUACCCAUAAUACGCGGCAUCUAUGGAAAAAUUCGUAAGAAAGCUUCUAGAGCUAAACAUCCUCAAAAAUGCACGAAAUAGAUUUUGGAAGGCCAACACUUCAAAAAACAUUAUGAAGGAAAAUGCUUCUUCCCAUGGAUAAAUUUACGCUACACCUCAAUCCUAAUUCCUCGAUCGAAAAUCAAAUUAUUAGCAUCCAAACAGGAACAACAAUUUUUGCUACGAACAUCCGUAGUCAAACAAGAACGUUUCUCAAACGCAGGGCUAAGACUAAACCCUUGCAACAUCGCGAAACAUCUUCAAGCCCGCGAACAUUUCAAGCCCGAAACACGGCAUACAAAAGAAUAACAAAUCUUCAGCAUCGCGAGACGUCGCAGACGCCUGAAUAUUCGUUCUUCGACGAAAUUUCCUUCCUCGAUAAAAACAUUUUCUUGGAAGACCAGACAGUCAUACGCACUAACAUCUUCUCAAAACAUAUCCUUCGCGAAGACUCGAAACGGUAUUUUUUACCAUUAAGUUUGUUGCUGAUCACAACAAACUCUCAACGUCCUAAACAGACUUAGCCAUCUCGUAGAGAUGACUCUCGUACAUCUGAUACAAGGAUAAUAGCGCUAUAAAAGAAAUCCAAAAUUUUGGUCCAGCACUUCCGAUCUCCGGAGUGAUGCUCGAUUCCAACCAUACAAGUCGUAUAAACCGAGAACCUAUCGCGGACUUUAAAUCGGUAUGGACUCAGGAUGAAACUGAAACGGGAUACGUAAGUCGAAUUAGUCAUCGCACCCUUGAAAACCAGGAGUAAACCUAGGUCUUGCCCUAAACCCAGCGCACUGGUCUCUAACAUCUCUAGGCAUAGUAUCAAACACCGUGAUACGAGAUCCCAAAAUUUGUCUCUUUGCCAAUAUUCGAGAAUCUUCAGAAAUCCCGCAAGUUUACACACUGCGGAAAACUCUCGAAACAGAUUACGGAUAUAGCAGUUCACAUAGAGUUAGAUUACGAGAUGACAACUCGUAGUCUUUCCUCUACACCCAUACAAAAUGCCAUCGGCAGCAAUACGCCUUAUAAUCGCUACAUAAAAACUAGACCAUAAAGGUCCCACUGGAAAACUAGUCAUAAGAACCUUAACUCCAAGACGAACUACGAAAGGCUUGAUCCCUUCAACAAGGGUACGUAGGCAGCCGUCAUAAGGCGCAGCCCCAAUCUUAUUGCGUUUUCUACUUUUAGGAGAGCGAGAAGAUCACUUACCACAGACGUUUUCAACCAUUAAUUCCGCCUAACUCACCUAACUUGCCUAACUUGCCAAGCCACUCGCUAGAACCUCACGCUAGAAGCUCAUGGUUCUAACGAGCUGGGGGGCUAACUGUUGGGGUCAAAAUCGGUCACGACGGAAUCAAUGCCUGAAAGUCCGUAAAAAUCAGCAUGAACGUUUUUACGAAAAAGUAAUCUUCGUAAAGAUAUCUUUACAAAGAGCCUUGCGGUAAAAUCUUGUUCAAAUCUCAAUCGAACCACUAAAUACCGAUUGUCCGAAGGAAACAGAAAUGUAUCCAAUUCGGCCGCGGACAAGCUCGAGUACGGCAAUCGGACCACGGACAAGCCAAGCUCGAUCGAUACGCAGCGACCAAGCAUGCACACAGCUCGGUCGCUACGUAGGGACCGAGCGUUCGUCCCGCUUGGUCGCUACAUAGCGACCGAGCGUCCAUCCCGCUCGGUCGCUACGUAGCGACCGAGCGUCCGUCCCGCUCGGUCGCUACAUAGCGACCGAGCGUGCGUUCUGUUCGGUCGUUACGUAGCGACCAAACUCUUCCGAAACGUCGAUACGACACCAAUUCAUGCAUUCUCGUCUAUCCUACGAUGCUAUCUCCCGAAGACCGUAGCGAACUCAGUUCAUGUCUUCCGACCAUUCUAAGACGCGACCGAGCGGGACGGACGCUCGGUCGCUACGUAGCGACCAAACUCUUCCGAAACGUCGAUACGACACCAAUUCAUGCAUUCUCGUCUAUCCUACGAUGCUAUCUCCCGAAGACCGUAGCGAACUCAGUUCAUGUCUUCCGACCAUUCUAAGACAUCAAUCAAACUUUGCGGUAAAAACCGCGGAAAGUUCGUUCUUUAUCGAAAGAAGUUGUAAUAAACGUUUCGAGUCGGAAGAUGGCCCAAAGGGACCUAAGACACGACUCGAGGCCCAACUUACGAUUUCUUAACCAAAAGCCCAUAAACCGUCAUACGGUUUACGCAUGGCGCACAAGGAAGGAUAAAUGUCAAGUUUCCAUGGAUAAAUAUGAAAUUAUGAGGAUAAAUACGAAGAUCGGAAAAAAUGAAAUAUCUCCAUUUUAUGCUAUGACGGCUUAAGGGCAGAAGAGUAAAAGCGUAAACUGACCUUGGAGCUAGUAUAUAAGGAGUCCUAGGCGAGAGGCAUGGAGAGGACUUUUUAGACUCGGAAUUCUCUGCACUUAGAAACUCUAGGCUUUAUUCUCGACAAGUUCGGUUUCUAUGACUGGCACUCAAUUACUAGACGAACUCGCCCAGGCAGUUCGAUCUCUUGUCCAGCUCUAUCAAUUGAACUACGUUCGGCUUGAUCCUCGAAAGGGGUACGUAGGCAGCCUUUAACAAGGUUCAGUCCGAAAUCAAUCAAAAACCUUUUAUGUAUCUUUUUCGUCUUUUGUUAUCGAGCUGCGACACAACUAGGUUUGAGCUUUUAGGAAGCUGGAACUAAGUAACUCGCUGACAGCCUUUGCAGCCAAAGCUCUUAUGAUCUCUUGUAAUGAUCGCAACGCUCUUACGCGGACUCGAAAUAAAAUCUAAUGUUUUCUCUAAACUCGUUUGUUAUCUUUUCAUGAUUUCCGCAUAUAUUCGGCACUUGUCGUUGGCUCUUGCAGAGAUCCGGGACCUCUGGGAAAUUAGGGUUUUCCUAGUUUCCUUAUUUAAACGGAACUCGACAGUGCGAAUUUUGGUUCCCACAUAAAAUAUUUCACAAAAUAAAAUAUCACAUAAAUUAAGAUAUUACAUAAGUAAACAUCAGAACAACAUUAAUAUUCAGGUAAAUUUGAUCCUAGACUUCCAAUAUCACCAAAAUAUUUUCCAUAAAUCUCUGGUGCAACUCGAGGUUGUUGUUGCUCUUGAGUUCUUUUCUUGAUGAUUCUUUCUUGUUCAGAUCGAAUGAACUCACAAGUAGUAGAAUUAGCAAUAGAAUUUAGACUUGUUAACAAUAUCUUAUUUUCUUCUUGCAUUUCUUUAAGUGCUAAUUUUUUUGCUUGGUUUUGCACAUGUAAUUGAGCCAUUUCAAAACCUUUAUCCCUACUUGAUGUACUUUCUUUUAAGAAAUCAAGUAGUUUUUUCAUUUGAUGAAACCAAAUUGUCAACAGAUGAACUAUUACCUUCAGCAAGCUUCCUCUUGAGUUUUGUCUUUUUUGAUCUAAUCGGACGUUGUGAUGAAUUCGAUCUUCCAUCAUCACUACUUAAAUUGAUUGAAAAUGAAGACACUCCUGGAGAUUGUGAUGUAGGAGAGCCGGCGAUAUUGAUCUCAGUAUUAGGAGUGUCUUGAAUACCAAUAUUGACAUCGGUAAAUUUUGGAAUAUCUUUCAUCAAAAGCCAAACAUGAUCAAACUUGAAACCUUUUUUUUGUUUUGGAUCUUGUAUUAACAAUUUCUUAGCUUUUUCCAUCUGCAUGAAAUAUGAAAUCUUAAGAAAUACAUAUACACAAUCAUAUAUGUAUAAUAGAAAAUAAAUAUACUUACAAUGCCCCACUUGGAUGCAAAUUCUCUACUUGGAUAUGCAUAAAGAAUGGUAGUCAUCCUACCUUGUAAGGAUCUGCUGCUUCUUAUUUCCCAACACUCAUAUUUUUGUUCAUUGUAACUAUUUUCUAUUUUUUCGCAUAAUUUUCCUAGAGAUUGGUUAUUGCUGCCAAUAGGAUCUUGGGAUAUUUCUAGAUAGACACGAUAUAACAACUCAUCUUCAUGUUGGUCUAAUGACGAGCCUCUACUUCUUUCCAUAUUUUUAUGAAAGUUUAUUGGAUGUGAUUUUUCAUUGUGUAGAACCUAUUAUUUAUACAAGAAAAUGGAUGAAUAAAAUUCAAAUGAAUGGACAUGGUUUAAUUUUACAGAUUUUCUUAUCUACCUGUGAAUGAUGGAUAUGAUAAGAUUUUGAUCCAAGGGUUGGUGAGCUAUAAAAUACAUUGAAUGGUGUUGGUUGAAAUCUUAAGAUUUUCUUAUCUUCUCUUAUCUAAUAUAUUGGAUAAGUCUGACCUCUUGAAUAUAAUUUUAAAUAGUAAAGAUUCUUUUCUUGUUACCUUGGAUAAGUGAAAUAGGCAUAUAGAAUCCAAUGAAUGGUGUAGCUUAAAUAUUUAAGAUUUUCUUAUCUUUUAGAAUAGUAAAAUUUAUACCUAUAAAAAUACACAUAUACAUGUUAGACAAACAUCAAAACACUAACACUUAAAAAUGAAUUUCAAUAUUGGGGGUUCAUCUUCUUUUAUAAUUUCAUCUUCUUCCUCUUCUUCAGACUCAUCUGAGUUGGAUGACUGGUUAGAAGAUCAAAAUGCAGCAAUAGAAAGAGAGCAACAAAUUGCAGUCAAUUUUUUUGUGAACAACAAUCGUGUUAUUCCCCAACUCACUUAAGAAAACGAUCAUGUCAGUCACCGGGGAUCUAUUUAUGGUCAUGCCGUCAUACACCGUGAUAGAGAAAAUGUACACCGAAUCUGUUCAGUGAUUACUUUUUGGAGAAUGCUCUAUAUGGCGAGCGAGAUUUCAACCGCCGGUUUCGAAUGUCAAAAAGAUUGUUUCUUCACAUUGUUGAGGCUGUUAAACAACAUCACAACUACUUCACUCAGCGACGCAUUGCAUCUGGUAGAAAGGGUUUAUCAAUCUUGCAAAAAGUGACAGCCGCUUUUUGGAUCUUGGCGUAUGGUAUGCCUGCUGAUGCGACAUAUGAGUACAUCGAAAUAGGAGAGUCUACAGCAAUUGAAUGCAUGAAGAGAUUUUGUCGCGCAAUUAUAGAAGUAUUUUCGGAGCGGUAUAACUUUGAAGCUGUCGCUGAUUAUGAUUUGUGGAUAUGGCAUGCCUACUUUGGUAUGCCGGGUUGCAACAACGACAUUAACGUCUUGAAGUCAUCUAAUUUGUUUUCAAAGCUUGCUCAAGGUACCGCUCCUCCAGCUAAUAAUAUUAUUCAUGGAAGAGAGUAUAAUAUGGGUUACUAUUUAGCUGAUGGAAUUUAUCCAAAGUGGUCAACUAUUGUUGAAAUAGUGAUCCCCAAGGUCCAAAGAAAAAAUUGUUUGCAGCAAGACAAGAAGCAUGCCGAAAAGAUGUUGAACGUGCAUUUGGAGUUCUACAAUCUAAGUUUGCUAUCAUAAAAGGGCCGUACCAUUACUGGAAAAAGGAGUUAUUGCAUGAUAUAAUGACAGCAUGCAUUAUCAUGCAUAACAUGAUUAUUGAAGAUGAACGUGAUAUCAACGCAACAAUUAGAGAUGCAAGAUCGGCGACAGUGGCACAAGUUGAAAUGGCAAUAAACGAGAAUGCUCGUUUUCAAAACUUUUUAGCUCGUAAUCUUCAAAUAAAAAAUAAAGAGGCUCAUUUAUCACUUCGAAAUGCUUUAAUUGAUCAUAUAUGGGAUCAUUAUGGAGGUAAUUAUAAUGAAUAAAUAUGUAAUUUAUUUAUUUUUAUGCAAUGUUUAAUUAUAAUAUAAUAUUUUAAAAUUAAUUUAUCUUUAUAAUAAUUUUGUUGGAUAUUUAUAGCUAUUGUAAAAGAUGUAUGCUUCUAAUUAAGUUUUUUUUUAAAUAUAAGGACUAUUAUGUAAAAUAGAAAAGUUUUAAGGGUUAUUAUUGAGAUUUUAGAGAAUUAAGAAGGUAUUGAGAGAUUAAGAAAGAUUAAAGAGGAGUUUAGUGAAAGAUUUAAACGAGUAUCAUAGUUUGAGAGUGAUUAAGAGACUUUGAGAUUCAAACUAGAGAGAGAGUAGAGAAAGAGUGAUUCAAUCUCGUUAGUCAUUAAUCUGAUGAGGUUACAACUUAUAUAGUAUGAGAGCUUAGGGUUUACAAGGUUUAAAGAUAAGCUAAAGCAUGUGUAGUCCCAAGAGAGGAGCGCAUAUCAUAAAGCACCCAAUGAGCUUCUUCCCGCGUGUGAAGCAUCUUGGAUCUUUGACUAGGAUGCUGACAGUCUGUCACAGCCUUUCAGAUGCACUCCUCAAGCUCUCUCAACGGUCUGAUCCAAGUAGAGCAUGGUAGAAGGUAAGAAUGAUCCGUUCACUCCCUUCUCGGUUAAACGAUCAUGGUAACUUCUUCUUUACCUUGUACGGCCACAUUGUACGGCUUGUCCGUACACUCACAUCCUUAACUUCAUCCUCAAGCCUCUAACCUUCUCUUGCUUCAUAUCACAUAGUUGCAUCACCUCAUUUCAACACUCCCCCUCAAGCUUAACCAUGUGGAACAAGUUAAGCUUGGAAGGACCAUGGAAUCUUCCUCAUUAAAAACCUUACCAAAGAAAACCCAUUUGGGACAAAACUUUGAUAAGGGAAAAAGAGUAAAGACCUCAUGAUCAGGGGACUAUUCUAUGGGUGAAAGAUCAAUGAGUCCUAACCUGAUGUGUAUGGACUCCAUUGUCUUUUGUCUUGCUGCCUUGGUGGAUACAUCUGCUAACUGAUCCUCACUCCUUGUAUAGCAUGGCAAGAUUACUCCCAAAACGAUCAUCUGCCUCACCUUGUGGCAGUCUACUUCAAUGUGCUUGGUUCUCUCAUGGAACACUGAGUUAGUUGCAAUGUGUAUAGCUGCUUGGUUGUCGCAAUGCAUAGUCAUUGGUGUAGCUUGCUCUAUCUCCAAAUGUUUCAAGAUCCCUUUUAUCCACACCAACUCAUUUGUCAGCUUCAGCAUUGCCCUAUACUCAGCUUCAGCACUUGAGUAAGAUACUACUUUCUGCUUCUUGCUCUUCCAUGUCACAAGAUUGCCUCCAAUGAAUGUACAAUAGCCGGUAGUUGAUCUUCUGUCUGCUCUAUGUCCUGCCCAAUCAGCAUCACAAUAGCCCACCACUUCAGUACUCUUGUUGCAUCCCAUCCAAACUCCAAGGCCUGAUGUACCGUUCAGAUACAAGAGGAGUCUCUCCACCAUUCGCCAAUGAUGCUCAUUUGGGACUUGCAUAUGCUGGCUCACUUGAUUCACAGCAAAGCAUAUAUCCGGACGUGUGAUGGUAAGGUAGAUGAGCUUCCCUACCAGCUUUCUGUAUAGCUUUGGAUCAUGAAAGACCUUGCUAUCUUCAACCUCCCCCUCACGUGGAACCUUGUCUCCAUCUUCAAGAGGCAUCCUUGCUGUCUUAUCUCCUUGUAUACCUGCAUCUUUCAAAAGAUCAAGUGUAUACUUCCUUUGGGAAAUGAACUGUAACGACCCGGGUUUCUUAAACCAUGGUCUUCUUUUAUUUUUCAAUUUAAUUUCCCCAAACCAUUCACUAAACCGAGUUGGUUUAAUUAAUUAAUUAAGAAACGUAUAAACCAUUCGGUCUUUUACCUUUCUCAAGUGUGUAUGGGGUUAUAUAUACCUAAUAAUAUAUAUGCACCAUCUUCUUCUUCUCAAGGCAGCCGCCUCCUCCAUCCAAGCUUCUUCGAUCUCCAAUGAUAUCUCUUUCGUGAUCUCUAAUCCUUCUUCUUGAGCCCAGAGUGCUUUGCCAUCGUAGAGGACGUGACGCACCCACCAUCUUCAAUCACUACCGACACUGUUUCUCACCGCCACCGUCACCGAUCCACACGACCAUCAGUGGUGACCCACCGGCGGUGCAUCCCAUGUCACCGGAGACGUUGCUGUAUUGUCAAAGGUUAUGUCGUGUGGUUAACCAAGGAGAAGCGUGAGAUCUUAGGGUAAGAUUACCUCUUUCUUGCGGACCAAGGCUCCUCUCUUCCUUUUGAUUAAUCGCUUGCCACCUGAGUUGUCAACCGUGAACUUACGUCAUAUUUAUGUUUAUCAUGCAUGUGCAUAUUUGAUAUGCUCCUCACGUGAUGAUGGUGAGAAGCUAAGACCGGGUGUAAACCCUAUCGUUUCUUAAUGAUCAAGUUAUCUCGUUCUUUUGAUUCUCUUCCGGUUCUCAUAUUUUGGCUAAGGUGAGGGUUCUUUUCUCGAGUUUCUCUUACACGGCUUAGGACCUCGAAUAAGUAUAAUUUAUUUCUAAUGUGUUUCCGUCUGUGUGAAAUCGAGUCUAUUAUUGCUUGUUUAGUUUUUAGGUUCUUUGCUUAAACCGGAACUAGGGUGUUAGAGGAUUCAACAAUGAUUGUUUCAUUUAAAAUUGGUAAAUAAAAAUAGAUUAUUUUAUUAGGAGUUAUUUGAUUGUCUGAGAUGGAUACAGAGACGGACUUCUGUAUGCCGGAUUAUUUGGAGGUUACGGUCAGCUAUAGUCGACCGGUUGACGCGUAACCCAGGUGGUCGAUAAAUCGUCUACGGGCGUGUGUUACCGAGCACUUGUUCGGUGUGUGUAUGAACCGAGCACAUUUUCGGUGGUGUUUGGCCUGUUAGUGGGCAGCGGGUGUGCACCUCGCUAGGACUGUUGUAUGAUCUUUGGGUACUUUAGGUACCGUGUUUGUAAUGUGUUAGGAUUAAAUUAUAUUUAUUCGGAGUGCUCUGUCCGGGUCCAUGGACUUCGGGUUUAGUAUCCCAUACCUCACUGGGUAACUCACCUGUUACUCACCCCUCUCUCUUCCCCAUUUCAGGUGAGACUGACGAGUAUAUGAUAUUUGGAUGGAUUGGUGCUACUGGGCUUUUUAUUCGGACUUUUAUUUGGGUAUAGAGUGAGUGGAGUCGUGUAUAUGGGAUAUUGUGUUAUGAGAUAUUGUUGGUGGCACGCUGUUCUCCAGAUAGGAGGUGACGGGUGUCACAAUUUGGUAUCCGAGCGGGGUUCCGUCCCGGCCUCGACCCGGGAUGGCGAUUAGGGGAUUCGGUUUUUUACGUUUUUUUUUUUUAAAAAGUAUAAAUAAUUUUUAUAUAUAUAUAAUAAGAAAAAAAAAUGUUUGCGAAGUUCUUUUAGCACCAUUCUGUCCAGUAAUUACUAACUCAAUUGUCUCUUUCUAUGACGAUGAGUAAAAUCAUCGUCAUUCAUCCUUCGACUAAUAGGGUUCUAGCCAGAUGUUCAGCAGCAGAUGUGUGAUGUCUCAGUUCGUCAGUUUUCUCAGGAGUUAUCAGUUUCUCCGAUCAUGAUUUCGAGAUUAUCCAGGAGUGGAUAUGUGACGUUUUUGCUUCCACCCUACUUCAAGCAAUCGUUCCACGAGUUUUUGUUACUGGAGAUUAUGUGGUGUGACGUAUGAGCCACUGGUUGGCAUGUGUUGUUUUGUGUACGAGUAUAUCGACUAUCUUGGAGGUAUAUUUGGUUUGUGAACUCGUGGAGAUCGCUUUUGAAUUGGGGUGCAGCAGCUUGCGUUGUGUUGAUACGCUUGGUUUUGUUUGCCAGUUUUUGGCAUUGUUGAUCGUUUCAGAGGUGUGUCAGUUCGGACAACUGACAUAGGACAUUGAGAGCUAUUUAUAUAUGAGUUGUACCAUUUAUGCAUGGAGGAGUCGAGUUUUUCAGAGAUUCGUCAGAGAUGGAACUAAGUUUAUGCGAUGUCAUUCUUGAGAAGGAAUGGAUGUCAUGACAUCAAGUAGUGUUGAUUUGCCUGAGGGCAAGAGUUUUUAUUCUGGGAUACGAUGAGAGUUUUUACUAUCUGCAUGCUACAUGCUAAGGAGUUAUUGGAUAUAUGAGUAAAUGGAUGUUUGGUGACCAUUUCGAUGGUUAAGGACGAUGGACAACAUGAGUUGCAGGAUCUUGGGGUUAUUGCAUAGUAUCAGGAUGUAUUUGAGGCCUUUGGAAGGGCCGUCACCAGCAAGAGGAGCCGUUUUCUUACGAUCGGGUUGGAGUCAGGGACAGAACCGGUUUCACAUUUUCAAUACAGAUUAGCGGCAGCAGAGAUGACCGAGCUUAAAGAGCAUAUGGAAGAUUCACUAGACAUGGGUUUUACUAGACCGAGUACUUCACCGUGAGGAGCAUCAUUAUUUUUGUAAAGAAGAAAUAUGAGAGUUUCAGAAUUUUAUCGACUACAUAGAUCUGAACAAAGGGACCCUUAAGGAUAAGUAUCGCUUCCGCGUAUUGAUGAGUUGUUGGAUUACCUACAAGAGGUUCAUAAUUCUUGAAGAUUGAAUUGAUAUCACGAUACCACCAGAUUGCGAUAGAUGACGAGGAUGUGCGGAAGACAGCCUUCCAGAGUUGUGAUGUUGUCAUUUGGGUUGACGACCACACCAGUAGCAUUCGGGGAACUUUUGAAUGAUGUUUCAUGAACACUUGGAUAAAUACAUGAUUGUAUUCAUGGACGACAUCCUGAUAUAUUCUCGGAGUAGAGAGGAGCAUGCUGAGCAUUUACGAAUUGUGCUAGAUAAGCUUGGAGAGCAUAAAAUUGUUUGCUAGCUGAGUAGGUGUAGCUUCUGGCAGAAAAAAAAAUAGAUUUUUGGUCACGUGUUUCAGAACCAGAAGUUGAUUCAUAUUCAAAAAAAGAUAAUUACAAGUUUAGAGUGGUCGACACCUAAGAGAUACAUAGAUAUGAAGUCUUAAUAUUAUUGGCCUAGAGUGGAAAAGAACAAAGAUGUAGCUACAUUUUGUCUAUGUCAGACUUGUCAGAUGGUUAAAAUAGAACAUCAAAUAUUUAUGGGAUUAUUACCUAAUUUAAUUCUUAGAGAUUGGAAAUGGGAUAUGUUGAUUGUGGGGUUUCCUCAUUGGACUAUGUAAGUCAAUUUUCACGAAGAUUAAUGUAUGAGCGAACAUGGACCAUCUCGCUAAGUUAAACUCGAGAGGGCAUCCUCAGGACUUGUCUUUGCUCGCAGGAGAAAAAAAAAAUUAAGGAAAGCUUCUACCACUGGAAUAGUUCAUGUACAGUAAUAAUUAUCACUGGGGCAUUCAGAUAUCACUUUAGGAGGUUCUUUAUGGAAGAUCAUUCACACACAUGCUAAACCAAAGUGGGGAAGCACUAUGGUGUAUAGCAACCAGUGGUUUAAAGGUCAUUGAAGCAAAUAGAAAUGCUCAACAACCACCUAAAGGAAAUUGAUGGCAAAAAAAAAAAAUGCAGUUAAUACUGGAGUUGGAAGUUCAGUUGGAUAAUUUAAACCUAAAUAUAUGUGACCGUACCCCUUUGUGGAGCAAUGGUUUGUAGAUUUCAGUGAUCAGCUAAGUUGUCAGAAUUCCUUGACGGGUUAGUAUUCAAGAAGGUCGUGAGAUAGCAAGAGUUCAUGUUGCAGCAGCCACCAAACGAUUUCGGUAAAUAAAAAAAAAAAAAACUGGUGUUGCGUGUUUCAGCUAAUGGAGAUUAUGGAUCAACAAGAAAAAAUGGUCCAGAAAAUGAUGACCAUGUUCGUCAAAAUUUGAUGAGAGAGACAAGAUCGAGAAGGAGACCCAGGAGACGGAGAUCCAGAUGAUGAUUACCUAUCCAGAGCUUUCUCAGGAUGGUAUAAAACAACAGGGCUCAAGAUUUGAAUUCGAGGACGAAUUCCGUUUAAGUGGGAAAGAAUUGUAACGACCCGGGUUUCUUAAACCAUGGUCUUCUUUUAUUUUUCAAUUUAAUUUCCCCAAACCAUUCACUAAACCGAGUUGGUUUAAUUAAUUAAUUAAGAAACGUAUAAACCAUUCGGUCUUUUACCUUUCUCAAGUGUGUAUGGGGUUAUAUAUACCUAAUAAUAUAUAUGCACCAUCUUCUUCUUCUCAAGGCAGCCGCCUCCUCCAUCCAAGCUUCUUCGAUCUCCCAUGAUAUCUCUUUCGUGAUCUCUAAUCCUUCUUCUUGAGCCCAGAGUGCUUUGCCAUCGUAGAGGACGUGACGCACCCACCAUCUUCAAUCAAUACCGACACCGUUUCUCACCGCCACCGUCACCGAUCCACACGACCAUCAGUGGUGACCCACCGGCGGUGCAUCCCAUGUCACCGGAGACGUUGAUGUAUUGUCAAAGGUUAUGUCGUGUGGUUAACCAAGGAGAAGCGUGAGAUCUUAGGGUAAGAUUACCUCUUUCUUGCGGACCAAGGCUCCUCUCUUCCUUUUGAUUAAUCGCUUGCCACCUGAGUUGUCAACCGUGAACUUACGUCAUAUUUAUGUUUAUCAUGCAUGUGCAUAUUUGAUAUGCUCCUCACGUGAUGAUGGUGAGAAGCUAAGACCGGGUGUAAACCCUAUCGUUUCUUAAUGAUCAAGUUAUCUCGUUCUUUUGAUUCUCUUCCGGUUCUCAUAUUUUGGCUAAGGUGAGGGUUCUUUUCUCGAGUUUCUCUUACACGGCUUAGGACCUCCAAUAAGUAUAAUUUAUUUCUAAUGUGUUUCCGUCUGUGUGAAAUCGAGUCUAUUAUUGCUUGUUUAGUUUUUAGGUUCUUUGCUUAAACCGGAACUAGGGUGUUAGAGGAUUCAACAAUGAUUGUUUCAUUUAAAAUUGGUAAAUAAAAAUAGAUUAUUUUAUUAGGAGUUAUUUGAUUGUCUGAGAUGGAUACAGAGACGGACUUCUGUAUGCCGGAUUGUUUGGAGGUUACGGUCAGCUAUAGUCGACCGGUUGACGCGUAACCCAGGUGGUCGAUAAAUCGUCUACGGGCGUGUGUUACCGAGCACUUGUUCGGUGUGUGUAUGAACCGAGCACAUUUUCGGUGGUGUUUGGCCUGUUAGUGGGCAGCGGGUGUGCACCUCGCUAGGACUGUUGUAUGAUCUUUGGGUACUUUAGGUACCGUGUUUGUAAUGUGUUAGGAUUAAAUUAUAUUUAUUCGGAGUGCUCUGUCCGGGUCCAUGGACUUCGGGUUUAGUAUCCCAUACCUCAUGUUGAGAUGAAGCAAUAAAGAUCAAGAGUAAAGGCCUGAAGAAUCAGAACUAUGGAAACAAGAGGGAAAGAGCAAUUUGAAUCAAGCCAUACAGUUUGCCCUAAUCCGUAACAAGAGUGUCUUGGAAGGCAAGCAAGGGUGUGGGAGUUUUUAAAUGUCUCACCAUCAGUCUCCAGAAGGUCUGGAAUAGUUUAAACAAGUGGGAGCAAGUGGAUGGAUCUGUUGGAGCUCAAAGACAAGCCAAAGUCACAUGUUAAGCUAAGGAUGUAAGAGAAAGAGGAGAUGUCACUUUCAUGGCUCAGUUGAGAGUGACUUGAUCCCAUGCUGUCUCCAUUUGUUUAUUAAUUCCUAUUGUCUCAUUAGAAACUCUUGUAUCUAUUUAUGUAACAUGUCUGAGAAAUUAAUAAAGUAAGGGAAUAAGAGAUUCCUCCUUCUUACUCUCUCACUUUGCAACAAUCUCUCUCUUUCUUAUUCUUAUGGUUCUAACUUAAUCUCCUUAAUCUAUACACAUAACCAUCUCAUAAAUCAUUAAAACUCACAUGGUAUCAAAGCAAUGUUCAUAAAUAGUACUUGAUCUAGAGAACACACUCUUGCAAUGCUUGCCUAGAAUACAAGCCUCACAAUCACUUUUAAAGGAAAUACUUGGAAUCAUGAUGUUCAAAGCACGAGAAUGGGGAUGUCCUAAUCUAGCAUGCCAUAAUACAUCUUUAGGUAAAGUAGAAAUAUAAUUUAGAGCAUAAGAUAAAUCAGAUGAUAGCUUAGUGUCUUCAAGUAAGUACAAGUCUCCCUUGGUUACACCUUUGCCAAGCAACCUACUAGUUUCAAUAUCCUGAAAGUAAACAUCAUUAGGAGUGAAAGUAACACUACAAUUCAAGUCAUUAGUAGCUCUUUUAAUUGAUAACAAGUUUGAGGUAAAACUAGGCAUAUAGAAAGCUUUAGAAUCUUUAUCAAAUAGCCUAAGAUCACCUACACCUUUGAUUGGUACUUUCUCUCCAUUAGCUAUCAUAACAUUUCCUAGGGCAGGAACAAUGUUUUUAAUUAAGCUAAGAUCACUAAUCAUGUGGUGACUUGCCCCUGAAUCUAUAACUAAAGAUUUUGUAAUUUUAGGUUCAGUUAAAGCAUUCAGCAAGAUACCACAAGUGGAGGCAUGUAAAGAGGUACCAAGUGUGUUACCAGAGUUAUCCUUGAGGAGUUUGAUGAGAGCCUCAAUGUCAGAACGUCUGAUGACUUCAUCUUGAUUGUUCCUCAAGGUAAGGUUGCCACUGGAAGCUAGAGCCUUGCCUUCACCACCUGCUGGAGCAGAGCGCAUGGUAGCUGGAGUAGAUGGCUCUCCCAUGUCACCAGAGAAGUUGGCUCUUGCAUCAUUGUAGUUGGUUCUGAACUUUUGUGGCUUGAGGUGAGGAUGGAGGAUCCAGCACUUGUCCUUUCCAUGGCCUUUAUUCUUGCAAUGAUCACAGAUCCACACCUUCUUGUCUUCAGUCUUGUAGGUGCCUUUAUUUGCAAGUCCUUCAGCUUGGUUUGCUAGUACCAAGUCUUGCUUGCGUCCAAAGAGCCCCACUGAUCCUUGUUCUUUCUGAAUCCUAGCACAAACUUCUUCAAGGGAUGGGAGUUCCUUGUCUCUUAAGAUAUGCUUGAUUAGAUCAUUGUAUCCAGGGUUGAGAGUAGAGAGUAGUGCAAACACCUUGUCUUGUUCUCUCCUUUCAUUCAACACAUCUGGAUCAAUAGUUGCUGGCCUUAACAUCUCUAGCUCAGCCCACAGAGAUCUGAACUUCCCAAAAUGUUUAUCAAAGUCAUUGUCCUCUUGACUGAGAGAGUAUUGAUAGCCCUCUUGACUUAAUCCACUCUGAUGUAUGGACUGCUCCAUGCAUAUCUAGAGAACAUCAUAAGUAUUUUGUGACCUUUAUAGAUGAGAAAUCAAAGUAUACAUGGAUCACAUUAUUACAAUCUAAAGAUUGGGUCUUAGAAGCUUUCAUAAAUUUUCAAACCCAUGUAUCUAACCACUUUAAUGCCAAGAUUAAGAUUUUGAGAUCAGAUAAUGGAGGAGAAUACACAAGCAAUGCUUUCAAACAACACUUAGCCAAACAUGGGAUGAUCCACCAAACUAGCUGUCCAUAUACUCCACAACAAAAUGGUGUAGCUGAGAGAAAGAAUAGACAUCUCAUGGAGGUGGCAAGGAGCAUGAUGUUUCACACAAGUGUGCCCAAGCGAUUUUGGGGAGAUGCAGUUUUAACAGCUUGCUAUCUAAUCAAUAGGAUCUCCACAAAAGUCCUUCAAGAUCAAUCCCCUUAUGAGGUACUUAACAAAAACAAAUCAUCUAUAGAACAUAUGCGUGUGUUUGGGUGUCUUUGCUUUGUUUUGAUACCAGGAGAACAAAGAGAUAAGCUGUCAGCCAAGAGCACAAAGGCAAUAUUUAUUGGGUACUCUCCUCACCAGAAAGGCUAUAAGUGUUAUGUACCAGAGACCAGGAGGGUCUUAGUCUCAAGAGAUGUGAAAUUUGUGGAAUCCAGAGGCUACUAUGAUGGAAAGAGUUGGGAAGAGUUAGAGAAUCUGUCCCAAUCAGCCUCGGAUAGAGCCAACAAUCUAAGGAGAGUAAUGGAAAGACUUGGGAUCAGUAUACACCAAGAGAAAGGGGCCAGUACACCUGAGGCGAGUCCCCACCAGUCCACUCCAUCUACUGAAGUUGAUACUGAUGUGAUUAAGAUUCCUCACCUUGAUCCUAAGGGGGACAAUCAAGCUGAACAUAAUCAGGAGGAUUCAGCAAGUCAUGAUCAAGCUGAGCAUCAUACAGAAGAGGAGCAGGAUCAUCACACUACUCAAGAGGAGCCAGUAGUGAUUGCAAGCCAGCCUCAGCCUAAUAGUGAUCAAAUAGGAACUGAGGAAAGUAGUUCACAGCAGCCGGUUCUAAGAAGAAGUUCUAGGAUCAGAAAGCCGGUUGAUCUAAACUGGAAGAACAACAGGGUCUACUUCAAUGCUCAAGCUGUGGCCCAUCCUAUACAAGGAGUGUGCUCUCUAGCUCAUUAUCCCCAAGAACAUGUGGUGUUUAUUGGAGAGUUGGAUCAGGAAUACAUUCCAAGGUCUUAUGAGGAAGCUAUGGAGCAUGAGGAAUGGAAAGAAUCAGUGGGCAGUGAGACUAAUGCCAUGAUCAUCAAUGAUACAUGGUAUGAAGCUGAACUACCUAAAGGCAAGAGAGCUGUAACAAGCCGCUGGAUCUUCACCAUCAAGUACAAUGCUGAUGGGACAGUAGAAAGGCGCAAGACAAGACUAGUAGCAAGGGGCUUCACUCAAACAUAUGGAGAGGAUUACCUAGAUACCUUUGCACCAGUUGCUAAACUUCACACCAUAAGGAUAAUCCUAUCUUUGGCUGUCAACUUAGAGUGGGAUCUAUGGCAAAUGGAUGUGAAGAAUGCUUUCCUACAAGGAGAACUAGAAGAUGAAGUCUAUAUGAGGCCACCUCCUGGCCUAGAACACCUAGUAAAGCCUGGAAAUGUUCUUAGACUCAAGAAGGCUAUCUACGGACUAAAACAAUCACCUAGGGCAUGGUACCACAAGCUCAGCACCACACUCAAUGGAAGGGGCUUUGUGAAAUCUGAGGCAGAUCAUACUCUCUUUACACUCACCAGCAAGCAAGGGAUUGUUGUGAUCUUAGUAUAUGUUGAUGAUAUCAUCAUCACCGGGAGUGACAAAGAAGGUAUACUCCUAACUAAAGCUUUUCUUAAAUCAUCUUUUGAUAUCAAAGACUUGGGAGAGUUAAAGUACUUUCUAGGGAUUGAGAUGUGCCGAUCCAAGGAUGGGCUAUUCUUAUCCCAAAGGAAGUACACACUUGAUCUUCUGAAUGAGGCAGGUGAUCUAGGAGGAAGAGCAGCCAAGACUCCACUAGAAGAUGGGUAUAAGGUGCUGCGUGAGGGGGAGAUUGAAGACAAGCCCUAUGCUGAUGUUAAACACUAUAGGAGAAUGGUGGGAAAGCUGAUAUACCUCACCAUCACCAGGCCUGAUGUAUGCUUUGCAGUUAACCAAGUAAGCCAGCCCAUGCAAGCUCCCAAGAUACACCAUUGGAACAUGGUUGAAAGGAUCCUAAGAUACCUAAGAGAGGCGCCAGGGCAAGGAGUGUGGAUGGGAUGCAACAAAAGUACAGAGAUAGCUGGGUAUUGUGAUGCUGACUGGGCAGGAGACAGAGUGGAUAGGAGAUCCACCACAGGCUAUUGUACAUUUAUUGGAGGCAAUCUUGUCACUUGGAAGAGCAAGAAACAGAAGAUAGUGGCAUGCUCAAGUGCUGAAGCUGAAUAUAGGGCAAUGAGGAAGCUCACUAGUGAGUUGAUCUGGAUCAGAAACCUACUUCAAGACUUGGGUAUAGAGACAUCAACUCCAAUCACCAUGCAUUGUGAUAAUCAAGCUGCAAUACACAUAGCUUCCAACAGUGUGUUCCAUGAGAGGACUAAACACAUUGAGGUGGACUGUCAUAAAGUUAGGCAAGCAGUAGAACAAAGGAUCAUCUUACCUUGUUACACAAGAAGUGAGGAUCAACUAGCUGACAUCUUCACCAAGGCUGCAAGCACCAAGGUUUGCGAGUUCAUACAUUUAGGACUCGUAGAUCUUUCAUCACACUGAUCCUCUUAGCCAUGAAGUGUUCUACUCUUUUUCCUUGGCUUGGUUUUUAUCCCAUGAGGUUUUUCCAAGCUAAAGGUUUUAAUGAGGGAAUGCUUCAUGGUUUCCAAGCUUGGCCAAUUCCUAUUGUCAAGCUUGAGGGGGAGUGUUGAGAUGAAGCAAUAAAGAUCAAGAGUAAAGGCCUGAAGAAUCAGAACUAUGGAAACAAGAGGGAAAGAGCAAUUUGAAUCAAGCCAUACAGUUUGCCCUAAUCCGUAACAAGAGUGUCUUGGAAGGCAAGCAAGGGUGUGGGAGUUUUUAAAUGUCUCACCAUCAGUCUCCAUAAGGUCUGGAAUAGUUUAAACAAGUGGGAGCAAGUGGAUGGAUCUGUUGGAGCUCAAAGACAAGCCAAAGUCACAUGUUAAGCUAAGGAUGUAAGAGAAAGAGGAGAUGUCACUUUCAUGGCUCAGUUGAGAGUGACUUGAUCCCAUGCUGUCUCCAUUUGUUUAUUAAUUCCUAUUGUCUCAUUAGAAACUCUUGUAUCUAUUUAUGUAACAUGUCUGAGAAAUUAAUAAAGUAAGGGAAUAAGAGAUUCCUCCUUCUUACUCUCUCACUUUGCAACAAUCUCUCUCUUUCUUAUUCUUAUGGUUCUAACUUAAUCUCCUUAAUCUAUACACAUAACCAUCUCAUAAAUCAUUAAAACUCACACCUCACUGGGUAACUCACCUGUUACUCACCCCUCUCUCUUCCCCAUUUCAGGUGAGACUGACGAGUAUAUGAUAUUUGGAUGGAUUGGUGCUACUGGGCUUUUUAUUCGGACUUUUAUUUGGGUAUAGAGUGAGUGGAGUCGUGUAUAUGGGAUAUUGUGUUAUGAGAUAUUGUUGGUGGCACGCUGUUCUCCAGAUAGGAGGUGACGGGUGUCACAUGAACAAUCCUUCCUUAGAUCUACACAACUCAAUUCCAAGGAAGUAUUUCAUUUCUCCUAAGUCUUUAAUUUCAAAUACAGAUUUUAAAAACUCCUUGGUGGCUUUUAUACCAGCCUUAUCACUACCUGUUAUGAUGAUAUCAUCAACAUACACAAGUAGACAAAUGAUACCUGAGGGUGAAGUAAGUGUGAAGAGAGUAUGAUCCAAUUCUGACUUCUUGAAUCCACGCCCAUUUAAAGUAGUGCUCAGCUUGUUGUACCAUGCUCUAGGAGAUUGUUUUAACCCAUAGAUAGCCUUCUUGAGUCUCAACACAUUUCCAGGUUUCACAAGAUGCCCUAGGCCUGGUGGUGGAUGCAUAUGCACUUCAUCUUCUAUCUCUCCUUGAAGAAAGGCAUUCUUCAGAUCCAUCUGCCAAAGCUCCCACUCAAGAUUCACAGCCAGAGAUAAUACAAUUCUUAUUGUAUGGAGCUUAGCAACAGGAGCAAAGGUGUCAAUGUAGUCUUCCCCAUAUGUUUGAGUGUAUCCUCUAGCCACCAGUCUUGUCUUCUUUCUCUCAAUAGUCCCAUCAGGCUUGUACUUGAUAGUGAAUAUCCACUUGCUAGUUACUGCCUUCUUUCCUUUUGGCAGUUCACUUUCAAACCAAGUAUCAUUCUUUAUCAUGGCAUUAGCUUCAUCACCUACUGAUUCCUUCCAGUGUUCAUGUAACAUUGCAUCUUCAUAUGAUCUAGGCACAUAGAUUCCAUCUAAGCUGAUCAUAAAUGCACAAUGCUCUUCUGGAUAGCACGCAAAUGAGCACACAGCUUGAGAGGGAUGCUCCACAGCUUGGGCAUUGUAGUACACUUUUGUGUUUACCCAGUUGGAAGCAUCUCUCUUUAACCGUGUGCUUCUCCUCAAUGGAACUACUACAUUCUCUUCCACGGCUUCUUCUGGUAUCUGACUUUCUUCACUACCUUCCUGACCUCCAUGUUGAUCACUUCCCCUUGAGUCAUCUUCACUUUGAACAUGAGAGUCUGCGCUUUGUUGUUGAUUUUCGGCUUCACUUGUUCCUUGAACUUCAGUAUCAGCAGAUUCACUUCCCCCUUCAUGUUCUAAGUGAGAUAAUUCUUCAACUCUAACAGGUGAAGUUUCUUGGCGUUUGUGUUGAAUCCAAAAUUUCCAAAAUGUCGCGUCUGGUGUCUCGACAUCGAUCGAUGGUACUUGUGUACAUCGAUCGAGAUUAAUCUUCAUCAUUCGAGGCAUUUCAUGAUAUCGAUCGUCAGCACUGAUGCGCAUCGAUCGAUUGUUCUUCCUCUCGUCGACCUCUAAGUGGUCAGCUCGGGUGAAAUGUCCUUUAAGCUCCAAAAUGCUCCAAAGUCAGAGCUUUACUCCGAAAUGCACCUGAACCUGAAAACAUACCUAGAGGAGUAGAAAACAUAGAUAUAUAUAUAUAUAUAUAUAUAUAUAUAUAUAUAUAUAUAGUAAAACACCUAUAUACCAUGGAUAAAAAUGGGUCAAAUCCAAGGUAUAUCAACUCCCCCAGACUUACCCUUUUGCUUGUCCUCAAGCAAAACAUACAGGCAGUCUCUCUGAAAGAGGUUUGAAAAUAUUUGGGGAUUUAAGAUUUUAAAACAUAGAAAUCUUUCCUCAACAAUUUUGCAACCCCAUUUAAAAAGUCCUAAUCACAAAAGCACACUAUGCAAUAUCCUAGCUUUGCAACUAUUUCUAACAUAACACAACUCAUCAAUUCACGUCUGACAUCCCAUCUACUGAUUUUAUUUCUUAGCAUAAAUAUAAAGUGAAUGCUUUACCUUGGAAGUAUCGAUCACAGGAUGCAAAGAUUUCAGACAGGUAUUUGGAGCUGCAGGUAAAAGUUAGUUCCUAGUUUCUCUAUCUCUAAUUUUCUCUCUUGAGUCAAAGUCUGCUUCCAUUGCAGGAUCAGUGACCAAGAUUGGACAGGCUUCCAUGAAUCAAAACUUAAUGGUGGUUGCCACCAAGUUCUGUUCACUUCUUUUUGACCUAUAUCCAAGAGUUCUUUGCGAAAGCGAGCCUUGAAGAUUGCCGCCUCCAAGUCCCAUUUCAAACUCUUUUAUUUGAGUCUUUAUGAAUCAAGCCUUAAUGGUUUUAGCCACCAAGUCCUGUUCAGACUCAUCCUAAUUAAACAAUAGAUCUUAUUUAUUAUUUUUUUUAUUAUAUAUAUAUAUAUAUAUAUUUUUUUUUCUUUUUAAAUACUCACUAACUAAUCUAGGGUCAAAAUUUAGAGAGAGAAAAUGUGAUAAAUAAUCUAAACCAGGCGUUACCUUCCAGACCUGUCUGAAGAAUCUGAUCCCAUGUAUACCAAGCCCCAAGACAAGCGGUUAUGUCAGGUUUAGUGUUGGAAAUCAGCUUUGGUUACUUCAUACGGUUCAAGGCAAGUGUGUAGUUGAUAGGUUGAUCCGCUUUAGCAUCUUUAGUGCUAUCUGCAAUCAGUAAAUCUAAAAUGAUGCUAAAGAUUGGUUAGAUAUUCAUGUUUAAAUCAAUAUAAGAUUAUAGUCCCUAUUUUCAAUAGCUAAGCAUAAUUUAUUUAAAUUUUUUUUUACAUAAGAAUAAAAUAAAUUAUAUCAGUAAAUCUCCUCCCAGACUUAAAUUACACUGUCCCAGUGUAACUCAGCCGGAGUUAUGACGAAUAGUUUACGAUGUACAAAAUGUAACCAGUAAAGAAGAUACAUCUGACCGGAUUAGAUAUCGAUCGAUGUGUAAGUGUUACAUCGAUCGUCGUGUGGUUAUCUAUGUCGAGCGAUGUCGACGUCUCGUCGUCGGUCGAUAUUCAGGUCCUCCUACUUGGGUCUCCUAAAUCUGAAAGAAAUAAAACGAAAGGAAAUAAAUGCUAGCUAAUAAAACCUAAAUAAAAUACCUAAUAGUGGGUUGCCUCCCACUCAGCGCUUGGUUAUAGUCAUUUAGCUUGACUGUGGUGGUGAUUGGCUAUUGUGUGGAGAAACAGCUGUGUAUCUUCUACCAAUGAUUUGAGCUCCUCUCCCAGUUUCUCUUGAGCUCCGCAAAUAACAAACACCAUCUCAUCGAUUUCAUCCUUGGUGUAGAGUUCUGGUGCCAGUGUUGUGAGUGUGAAAGAGGUGGCAUGUUCUGGAAGACAGAUGUGGCUCUUUUCAAAAGAGAUGUUCUUUCCAGUAAAUUCCUGAUGUUGUCCUUUGUGACAGGAAUCAUCUCACCAGCUAUACCUCGUGCGUGUCCACACUCAUCUCUGUAGACUCCAUACUCGUCCUUUUGUUCCCAAGUGAACUUUCUGGCUCCGUACAUGUCAAAAGCGCGGUUCCCACAUUCAUACCGUCUGUCGAUCGAUGUUGAAUUAUCCCUAUCGAUUGAUGUCUCCGUUGUACCGUCGAUCGAUGUUUUCCCUUUUGGUUGGCGUGAUAGAUCUGGAUUGAUCUCUGUUGUGGCGACUACUGCGUGGUUCUUAGGAUCUGUUUGAAUGACGUCUGGAGUGCCACGUUGCUGUGAGAAUAGGUUGUCAAGUCCAUUGGCUACUUGAAGGAUGUCUACUAUGUCCUCUCUGGACACUUGUAAAAUCCUUCCAUCCAUUGCACGUGCGUUGCCAUCUGGGUCCCUGAAAAUACCAAAUUCAUCAGGUGUUAGAAAACCGUAAUCAAUGUUUGCAUAAUCAUUCAAUUUAGAAGCAGAAAGAUUAGGGUUUAGAGUAGUAUCGAUCGAUGUAGAUACAGUUACAUCGAUCGAUGGCAGAGUAAUUUCUGCAGAACUUGUGUUCUUGAGAUGAUUGCUCUUCAUGGAUUUUUCUAUUGAUGUAGAAGGAAGAGUGUUCAUCUUUUUUGCUUGUGUGUUCGCUCUGAUGUGUGUAGGUGAUUUCGGGGGUGCAAAACGAUUUAUAUAGGUAUCUUUAAACCUAGUUGGAGAGGGAAUAUUCUCUUGCUCCUGAAUUUUCGCUGCGGUGCAAAUAUCGAUCGAUGUUCCUUUGUGGGUGUCGAUCGUUGUGAGCGGUUGUUUUGCUGGACGAGGGUGGGUAUCGACCGAUGUGGAGUGCACAGAGUCGAUCGAUGUUGGAAACGUGUUGGUGAACUUAUGUGUUUCAAGUCUUUCAUCCUGCAAAGACAUUUCUAUUGCACGUUCUUUCCAAUAAUCCUCAUCGUAUUCCUCGGUAUGUUCCUCAUUAGGUGAAGUAAUUACAGUGUCAACUGCAAAACUUUCAUGGAAACCACUGUCUGCCCAACUGCCUAAGGAAUAAUCAUCAUGUUCUCUCUUGCUUGGAGGUUGGAAGGCAAAGUGUUGGUGAAGCGAAACGGUCAACUGGGUGCAUUACGUCGAGUGACGUAUUGUUGUGGUCAUCGAUCACCGUUGACUCAUUGGAAUCGAUCGAUGGAAAGGUUGGGGGUGUCGAUCGAUUCCGAGUACUCUGUUUCGUACUCCAAUUCAUACUCUGCUCCACAAUGGCAUGUGCCAAUAAAGCCAAGUUCUUUCCCAUAAUCCACAGAAUUAAUGACCUUUCUCUUAGGUCGGAUGGGGUCGUAGUGGAUGUUUGGGUCUAUGAGCGUUAGACACAAUUUGUUUUUGUUCAUGUCACAUACAGCUCCUACUGUAGCUAGGAAAGAUCUUCCAAGCAGAAGUGAAGUGUUCAAGUUAAGCUCGAUGUCUAGGACAUGAAAAUCUACAGGGACAAGGGCAUUACCAAUCUGUACCUCCAGAUCUCUUAUGAUACCUCCUGAUCGUUUCUCUGAAAGAUCCACGAAGGUGAAGGAUUCCGUUGAAGGUUCGAUGGUCAAACCAAGCUGGUCUUCCAUGAUCCUAGGGAGGAUACUAACUGAUGCUCCUGUGUCACACAUUGAAUGGGGAAAUUCAACACCCUUGACUACGCAUGGUAUUGCAAACUUCCCAGGAUCACUCUUCUUCGUCAAUGUGAUCCUUUGUUUCUUCUUCUCUCUGAUUUGAUGAAACAUUCUCCUAAUGUCCUCCUCAGUUACCUUUGUUUCUCUGAAGAAGAUCCACAACCGGUGUGUGAAGUAAGCUUCAUCAAAAGGUUUUUCGAUUGGGAUUCUGAGGACUCGUUUAGUGAAACCAUCCAUCUCCUUAUCGUUAGCUUCCCUCUUAAGGGUUUUAGGAAUCUUCUCCUUUCUUUUCCUUAACCUUCUCCCUUCAGAUUCUUGUUCUUCUUGAACUGAUUUUGGUGAACUAUUUAAGGGGUUGGGUUUUGGUUCGGGUGGGUUUGCUAAUGGUUUAGGUGGUGGUCUGAGUGCGUUGAUGUAAUCAUUAUCGAUUGAGGGUAACCGCACUCGGUAUGUCAGAGGUGCCUGUCGAUCGAUGGGAGGUGUGUUGUGACGAUCGACUUCGGACUCACUAUGUCGAUCGAUGGUUGGCUCAACCGAUCGAUCGAUUUUAUCAUAGAAAGGGGAGGGUGGGUGAGGAUGCUUAGCUAUGAAUUCUUCAUGAGUUAUAAAUUCGAACCGCAUUGCAUUCAGUCGAUUUGGCAGACGACGUAGAUCGAUGACUGGAGUAUUCCGUCCAUCGAUCUUCAUCAUGGUCUGUUGAUCGAUACGAGUUCAUCGAGCUUUCGAUUUCGAAAUCUCAUUCCUCUAGCUUUUCAUUUCUCACCACUUGCCAGAAAUCAUCAUCCAUGAUGGCAUUUACGUGGUGUUUCCCUUUGUUGGCUCCUGCCUCUCUAGCGAAAGCUUCUUGCCUCUUCAUAGUCUCGCCCGUCUGAAUUACUUGGGUUUCAAGUUUUCUCACCUGAGUCCCUAAGGUCUCGAUUUUCGUGUUCAGAUUGUUGUAGGCGGAGUCUAUCUUACCGUUGAAAUCCACGGUGAUUUGUUGUUGUCCCAACAGUACUCGAUCAAGCAUCUCUUCGAUCUUGUUUUCCUGAGUCUGGGGUGGUGGAUAUUGGUAGUAAGAGUUCGAGUAGCUCUUGCUGUUGUUGAAGGGUUUUUGAAAUUGUGAACUUUGGUUACUUCUUUGGCCAUUUCCAAAAAAGUUUAUGUUUCCGCCCUGGUUUCCAAAUUUCUGGAAUCUGGUACUUCCGAUGUAGUUCACAUUUUCUUCUCCUUCCGUAUCUGCUACUUCUCCUUCAGCUGAACAGACUUGCUUCCUAAGAAGCUCGUGCACCACAUCUAACUUAGCUCUUACUUCGUCCAUCUGUUCCUUCCCGAUAGAGGCUACAGACUUCUUCCGUUCAGAGUCAGUGUUUUUGGUGCUGCUGCUGUUAGCAAGGUUUUCGAUAAGUCUCACAGCUUCCAACGGAUUCCGAGUAGUGAAGUUUCCUUCACUCGCCGUAUCAAGGGCCAUUUGAUACUGUAAGGCGAGACCUCGGAAGAAAGUGCUUAGCAGCUGCACUUCGUUAAAUCCGUGGUGUGGACAGUCUCGUUGGAAGAACCUAAAUCUAAUCCACGCAUCUUUGAAGGACUCUCCAGCCUUCUGGGAGAAUGUGAAAAUUUUGUUCCGAAGUUCUUCAGCGCGCGCCUCAUCGAAGAAGUUUUGUAAGAAAGCAUUCUUGAUGUCGCUCCAGGAUAUUAAAGAUCCUGUGGGUUGCUGCCUAAGCCAGUGCACCGCUUCUCCAUUCAGCGUGUUUCUGAAGAGCUUGCACAGCAGGUAAUCUUCGGGGACUCCUUCCAUCCUAAUAGCAGCGAUUAGAUCCUCGAACCGUUCCAAAUGGCCCAUAAGAUGCUCGUGCGGUAACCCAGAGUAAGGUAUCUGCGACACGAGAGUGUAGUAUUGAGGCUUCAGCUCGAAAUUCUGCUUCUGGAUCUUCGGAAGUCGAAUAGCUGAUUUGUUGGAAUAGUACUCAUCUGGGCGAUUGUAGUCGGCCAGUGGUUUCGAUCGAGCGUCCUCAUCUACAGGUUGAGCAGCUCCUGUAGCAUCAGCAUAAGGGAUUACAGUUCCCUGAGCAUCUAUUUUCUGACCUGUUGCAUUACGCAGAUGACCGGCCUGGUCAUACAGGUUUCCGUUCUCGUCCUGAGUUAGAAUAAUAAUGUUUACCAUUUUUAACGACACGGUAUCGAUCAACGUACGCGGUGUAGUAUCGAUCGUUGUCGAACGAUCGGGAUUGAUCGACGAUGAUGGUCUGGUGUCGGUCGACGGUUGGUUGUGCGUAUCAAUCGACGACGAAGUGGUUGCGUCGAGCGAUGUGGAACGUUGACCUCUACGGAUGGUGCGUUCCAAAUGAGCAGGAUCGUCUGAGAACAGCAAGUCUUUCUCCUUUUUGCUUAUGGUAUCACUGGGCAUGCACCUGAAAAUACAAGAAAAAAGAUUAUGAGAAAGGGGGUAAAGAAAAGAAUAAAAAUCAAUAAAACUAAAUCUAAUGGCGAUCAAAGCUCCCCGGCAACGGCGCCAAAUUUGAUACCACUCAAAUUACCCUAAGGAGUGUUACUCUCAUCAAAAGAGGUUCAGAUGUAGUACUUAGGGAUUGAAUCCACAAGGACCUAGGGAACAAUUAAAUCUAGUGUUUAUUAAUUCUAAAGGUUGUAAAUGUCUAAAUGAAAUAGCAAUAGUAACAAGCGAGUAAAUAAUAAAUAUAACUUGGUUGGAAAUGAUAUUAGAUGCAGGGCCACUAUUCAGGUGUUGGAGUUAUAAUACCUAUAGAUGCCUAACUGUUUCAUGCAUGAUAUACUAGAGCUCAUUCGCUUAACUCAGUGAUCAGCUGUCGCAUGUACCAGUGGUUAACAGACUAGAUCUUGUGUCUCAACGGUUAGUAUACAGACAACGAGAGAGUCUCGAUCGAUGAUCUAGUAAGACGUCGACCGAUACACCUUUGUCAACAUCGAUCGAUUGUCAGUUGAGGACAUCGAUCGACGGGUUCUAGCCAGGCCUAUGCGCGAGUAUGAAAUGCCCUACUAAGAUUCUAAAUUGGCGGUUAGCGCUCUCUAGCAAUCCUAAUAUGAUAGAUAGAUGUCAGGAUGGGAUAACAAGGGUGCUUGAAUAUGCAAUCCUGUGAUCAAGUUCUAGUUAGCAAGGCUAAAACAAGCAAUGAAUACAAAUCUAUCAUGAAUAUCACAACAAGGCAGAUCUAUAGUUUGGGGCUAAUCCCACAAACCUAUCUUAACCCUGGAUCUAACAGUUGAACUACUCAGACAUAGCAAAGCAAUUCAUCACAAUAAAAGAAUAGAAACUCAUAGUAUAGAUGAAAAGAAAUAGAAACAAGGAGUUCCAAUCACAAGUGAUCUUCUCUCCCAAAUGAAACCUGUAACAAAACUAGGUCUAGAAAAAUCUUUGUUCUUUUUGCCGUCAAAACACUUAUGCAGUAUAUAUUCUACUAGGUUAAAAACUCGUCAGGGCAUUUUGGUAAUUUGGGUUGGCCUUGGUUUUAAGUCUGCUGAAUCCAAAAUGCCGCAUCUGGUGUCUCGACAUCGAUCGAUGGUACUUGUGUACAUCGAUCGAUAUUAAUCUUCAUCUGUCGAGGCAUUUCCUGAUAUUGAUCGUCAGCACUGAUGCGCAUCGAUCGAUUGUUCUUCCUCUCGUCAACCUCUAAAUGGUCAGUUCGGGUGAAAUGUCCUUUAAGCUCCAAAAUGCUCCAAAGUCAUAACUUUACUCCGAAAUGCACCUGAACCUGAAAACAUACCUAGAAGAGUAGAAAACAUAGAUAUAUAUAUAUAUAUAUAUAUAUAUAUAUAUAGUAAAACACCUAUAUACCAUAGAUAAAAAUGGGUCAAAUCCAAGGUAUAUCAAGGUGAUAAGGAGUCAUCUGUUCGAUGGGGCACAUGGUCGGAACAGAUGGUGGAGUAGUCGAUAUGCUGCAGGGAGCAUGGAGCUUCUGUAUGCUUUGAUGAGCAUGGAGUAUCCCUGUCGGUGUGCUGGAGAUCGUGGCAUGGGCCAGUAUGUAGCGUUGUAGACGUGCUGCAGGGAGCAUAUAUCUUCCCCUGGUCGAUAGUAACCGCCGGGAUCUGCCUCUCCUAGGCUUGUCCGAGAAGAAGAUCUUCUAUGUGUAGAAUCUUGCCUUGGCGGCUGUAGAAUUGGUGAGUUCUGGUUAUGGACGUCUCCCCCUCAUAGAUUGACGUGUUUUCCUCAUAGAUGGACGUGUUCCCAUGAAUGGAGAACUUCAUCUUGUUGGUAUUAAUCGCAGGGAUUCAUCGGUUAUAAGCAUGUUGAUGACGAUGGCCUUCUAGGUCUCGAAUCUUGCCUUGGCGGCUAUGGAGAUGAUGAGCUCGUGUCUCUCUCUCUGUGUUAUAGACCUCCUCUUUAGAUUUAGAAACCUCUCUUUAUAGUGGAGGUCGUGCCUCCUCUUUAGGGUUUGAAAAUAUUCCAUAUAUCCUUAGAUAAUAGAAUAUUUCCACUCUUCUUUAAGGGCAGUAUACAUUGGAAUACUUCCUCUUUCUCUUGGAUUUAGGAAGAUCCCUUCUUCUCUAAGCUGAUUACCUGACAAAUGGAAGAUUUUCAUUUAUCUUAAGGCUGGAGAAAUCACUUGGCCUGGAAGACGGAGGAAGGUCCCAGACUCGGGGACAGGGACCCGGGACCCAAAUGCAGGAACCCGGACCCUGGGGGCAGAGACCUAGAAGACGGAAGCUGUAGUAAUCUCUUCAUGGAAUAUUUUUCCCCAACAACGAGUAAUUGCGGUUUUAAAUCGUAAAGUUCCAUCGGUGACUCUGAUCGAAAUGAAACAAGAGCAUGUUCGAUCCAAUCCCGAAGGAGGGAGCUACGAGGACAGGACUAUGACAGCACGAUCGUUCCAACUCGGCGGAUGGCCGAACUGGUCGCGUGUUGAUCCAGUUCGGCCAUCCGCCGAGCUGGACUGGGCGGAUGGCCAAGCUGGUUGUGUUGUCGAUCCAGCUCGGCGGAUGGCCGAGCUGGUCGCGUGUUCGAUCCAGCUCGGCCAUCCGCAGAGCUUGACUGGUUCAGCUUGGCGGAUGGACGAGCUGUUCCUGUUGUCGAUCCAGCUCGGCCAUCCGCCGAGCUGGACUGGUUCACCUCGGCAGAUGGCUGAGCUGGACUGGUUCACCUCGGCGGAUGGCCGAGCUGGUCGCGUGGUCGAUCCAGCUUGGCCAUCCACCGAGCUGGACGGUGUGCUCUGUCCACCCUUCAAUAAAACAGACAUAACUUAUGAUACAGAAUGCUGAUUAACCUCAGACCGGUGGCAUUCGAAAGCUAACUCAAAGCUCAAUCAUACCACGGGAAGGUCUUCAUCCAUAGCUAAACAUCGGACUUGUUUGUGCAGUUCUGCACCUCAAAACGUACGAACAAACGAGUUGGACUGCUUGUUUGGUUCCGUGAUCCAUUUCUCUCGAGUUUUUUGCUGAGGAAAUUUUGUCGAGAGUGUGUCGAGAAAGCUUUCAUACAGAAACACAGGUUUUGGACGUUUAUUUCGAGAUUACCGUUUUUGAUCCCAACAAUGUUUGCUUCUUAUUAUGGAUAAAAAUUAUACGGAAUUUAUAUUGCGAGAAAUAUUUUAUGGGGACUUUUCACUACAAGAAAACAAGACCUUAACGACUACAAUAUUAGUAGCUAGUUGGUCGUAAUAUGGGCUUUAGGACCAAUUAACUUCGAAAAUCGAUUGGUCGUUAUAAGAUGAUCUUAAUUAAUAAUUAGAGGCACAUUGGUCAUAAUAUUGCGUCUAAAAAAAUUAGUCAUAUAUCAGACGUAGCUUUACGGCUCAAUAAGUUGGUCGUAAGUUAAAAGUAAAUACAUUUGUCGUAAAGGUGACGUACAUUUACGUCUCAUAUAUUAGUCGUACACUGGUCAUAACCUUAUGACCAAUUUACCUUUAAUGUCGAUGUUUAUUAGUCGUAAGCUAACGGAUAUCACUCAAAUUACCCUAAGGAGUGAAUUACUCUCUCAAAUAAGCGGUUCAGAUGUAGUACUUAGGGAUCGAAUCCAUAGAGAUUCUAGGAUUACACAAUAGAUUAUGGUCUUGAAAUAAAUCUAGAUUAAAUGGUUUAUAAGUUUUAAAGCAGUAAAUGGAGUGGUGAGCAAUUUUAUUGCUCGAUUGAUUUGUUUUGGGGUUGUUAACAGUUUGGAGAAAUAGCUAGAUUCAGGUAUAUUCCCAGGUAUGAUAAGUAAACUUAAUUUGGGUUUGUAGAGGUUUAUUGAUAUUAAUUAUUCUUGAAUUUAAACUUAAGAUAUAAUCAAUUUGAUUAUCUAAUCUGGAUCUCGGAUUUCAACUCUUGUAUGUUAAUCACGAGAAAUUGUCGAUCGAUAAUUCUUUAUGAAUAUCGAUCGAUACACCUUUCAAAAUAUCGAUCGACAGGGCUAUCGAUGUGUCGAUCGAUACUUCUUCCAGAAAGUUUUACGUACAGGUUUAAUUUAUAUUUUCAAACUCACUAGAUCAACUCCCGUCUGUAUCUAGUCAGUUAGAUCAUACUAGUUAAUUUUCAGGUAUUGAGUCAAGCAAUGGCUUGAUCCCAAUUAAUCCUAAGAUCUAGGUUUAAAGGGUGAUUGAUAUACCUUGGAUUUGACCCGUUUUCAUCCAUGGUAUAUAGGUGUUUUACUAUAUAUAUAUAUAUAUAUAUAUAUAUAUAUCUAUGUUUUCUACUCUUCUAGGUAUGUUUUCAGGUUCAUGUGCAUUCGGAGUAAAGCUAUGACUUUGGAGCAUUUUGGAGCUUAAAAGACAUUUCACCCGAGCUGGCCAUGUAGAGGUCGACGAGAGGAAGAAUAAUCGAUCGAUGCACAUCCAGUGCUGUCGAUCGACACCAUGAGAUGCCUCGACUAAUGAAGAUUAAUAUCGAUCGAUGUACACAAGUACCAUCGAUCGAUGUCGAGACAUUGGACAUGCAACAUUUUGGAUCCAGCGGACUUGACGCCCAAGUCCAAGCCAAAUUACGAAAAUGCCCUGACGAGUUUUUAACCUAGUAGAUUAUAUACUGCCUAAGUGUUUUGACGGCAGGGAGAGCUUUUUGUUACAGUUUUACUUUGAGAGAGAGAGAGAGAGAGAGAGAGAGAGAGAGAGAGAGAGAGAGAGAGAGAGAGAGAGAGAGAGAGAGAGAGAGAGAGAGAGAGAGAGAGAGUUUUGGAGAGAAGAUCACUUGUGAUUGGAACUGCUUGUUUUCAUUUCUUUUCAUCUAUACUAUGAAUUCCCAUUUCGUCAUUGUUAUGAAUUGCUUUGCUAUGUCUGAGUAGUUCAUUUAUUAGAUCCAGGGUUCAGAUAGGUUUGUGGGAUUAGCCCCAAACUAUAGAUCUGCCUUGUUGUGAUAUUCAUGAUAGAUUUGUAUUCAUUGCUUGUUUUAGCCUUGCUAACUAGAACAUGAUUAUAGGAUUGCAUACUCAUGCACCCUUGUUAUCCCAUCCUGCCAUCUAUCUAUCAUAUUAGGACUGCUAGAGAGGGCUAACCGCCAAUUUAGUAUCUUAAUAGGGCAUAUCAUACUCGCGCAUAGGCCUGGCUAGAACCCGUCGAUCGAUCUCCUCAACUGACUAUCGGUCGACUUAGGCAAAGGUGUAUCGGUCGAUGUUCCAAUAGGACCGUCGAUCGACACUCUUUCGUUGUCAAUAUACUAACCGUUGAGACACGAGAUCUAGCCUGUUAACCAGUGAAACAUGCGACAGCUGAUCACUGAGUUAAGUGGUUGAGCUCUAAUAUAUCAUGCAUGCAACAAAUAGGCAUCUAUAGAUAUUAUAAUCUCCAACACCUGAAUAGUGGUCCUGCAUCUAAUAUCAUUUCCAACCAAGUUACAUUUACUAUUUGCUUCGCUUGUUACUAUUGCUAUUUCAUUUAAACAUUUACAACUCUUAGAAUUAAUAAACACUAGAUUUAAUUGUUCCCUAGCUCAUUUUGGAUUCGAUCCCUAAGUACUACAUCUGAACCUCUUUUGAUGAGAGUAACACUCCUUAGGGUAAUUUGAGUGGUAUCAAAUUUGGAGCCGUUGCCGGGGAGCUUUGAUCGCCAUUAGAUUUAGUUUUAUUGAUUCUUAUUCUCUUCUCUACCCCCCUUUCUAACAUAAUCUUUUUCUUGUCUUUUCAGGUGCAUGCCCAGCGGUACCAGAAGCAACAAGGAGAAAGACUUGCUGUUUUCAGACGAUCCUGCUCACUUGGAACGCACCAUCCGUAGAGGUCAACGUUACACAUCGCUCGACGCAACAACUUUGUCAUCAAUCUAUACUCACAACCAACCGUCGACCGACACCAGACAUUCAUCGUCGAUCGAUCCUAAUCGUUCGACAACGAUCGAUACUACGCCGCGUACGUCGAUCGAUACCGUGUCGUAAAAAAUGGUAAACAUUAUUAUCCUAACACAGGAUGAGAACGGAAACAUGUAUGACCAGGACGGUCAUCUGCGUAAUGCAACAGGUCAGAAAAUAGACGCUCAGGGGACUGUAAUCCCUGAUGCUGAUAGUACAGUCUCAACCUGUAGACGAGGACCCUCGAUCGAAACCACUGGCCGACCACAAUCGCCCAUAUGAGUACUAUUCCAAUAGAUCAGCUUUUCGACUUCCGGAGAUCUAGAAGCAGAAUUUCGAGCUGAAGCCUCAAUACUACACUCUCGUGUCGCAGAUACCCUACUCUGGGUUACCGCUCAAGCAUCCUAUGGACCAUCUAGAACGGUUCGAGGAUUUAAUCGCUGCUAUUUGGAUGGAAGGAGUCCCCGAAGUUUACCUGAUGUGCAAGCUCUUCAGAUACACGCUGAAUGGAGAAGCGAUGCACUGGCUUAGGCAGCCACCCACGGGAUCCUUAACAUCCUGGGCCGACAUCAAGAAUGCUUCCUUAUGAAACUUCUUCGAUGAGUUGUGCGCUGAAGAACUUCGAAACAAAAUUUCCACGUUCUCGUAGGAGGCUGGAGAGUCCUUCAAAGAUGCGUGGAUUAGAUUUAGGUUCUUCCAACGAGACUGUCCACACCACGGAUUUAACGAAGUGCAGCUGCUAAGCACUUUCUUCCGAGGUCUCGCCUUACAGUAUCAAAUGGCCCUUGAUACGGCGAGUGAAGGAAACUUCACUACUCGGAAUCCGUUGGAAGCUGUGAGACUUAUCGAAAACCUUGCUAACAGCAGCAGCACCAAAAACACUGACUCUGAACGGAAGAAGUCUGUAGCCUCUAUCGGGAAGGAACAGAUGGACGAAGUAAGAGCUAAGUUAGAUGUGGUGCACGAGCUUCUUAGGAAGCAAGUCUGUUCAGCUGAAGGAGAAGUAGCAGAUACGGAAGGAGAAGAAAAUGUGAACUACAUCGGAAGUACCAGAUUCCAGAAAUUUGGAAACCAGGGCGGAAACAGAAGCUUCUUUGGUCAAAGAAGUAACCAGAGUUCGCAAUUUCAAAAACCUUUCAACAACAACAAAAGCUACUCGAACUCCUACUACCAGAUCGAAGAAAUGCUUGAUCGAGUACUGUUGGGACAACAACAAAUCACUGUGGAUUUCAACGGUAAAAUAGACUCCGCCUACAACAAUCUGAACACCACAAUCGAGACCUUAGGGACUCAGGUGAGAAAACUUGAAACGCAAGUGAUUCAGACUGGCGAGACUAUAAAGAGGCAAGAAGCUUUCGCUAGAGAGGCAGGAGCUGAUAAAGGAAAACACCACGUAAAUGCCAUCAUAGAUGAUGAUUUAUGGCAAGUGGUGAGACAUGAAAAGCUUGAGGAAGGAGACUUCGAAAUCGAAAGCUCCAUGAGUCUCGGCGGAUCCCAAUGGUGUCGACCGAUGUCGAUGAACUCGCAUCGAUCAACAGCCAUGACGAAGAUCGAUGGACGGAUUACUCCAGUCAUCGAUCGACGUCGUCCGCUAAAUCGACUGAAUGCAAUGCAGUUCGAAUUCUAACUCAUAAGGAAUUCGCAGCUAAGCAUCCUCACCCACCCUCCCCUUACUAUGAUAAGACCGAUCGAUCGGCCGAGCCAACAUCGAUCGACAGAGUUAGUCCGACGUCGAUCGUCACAACACACCUCCCAUCGAUCGACAGGCACCUCCGAAAUACCGAGUGCGGUUUUCCUCAAUCGAUAAUGACUAUAUCAACGCACUCAAACCACCACCGAAACAAUUAGCUAACCCACUCGAACCAAAACCCAACCCUUUAAAUAGUUCACCAGAACCAGUUCAAGAAGAUCAGGAAACUGAAGGGAGAAGGUUAAGGAAAAGAAAGGAGAAAAUUCCUAAGAACCUUAAGAGGGAAGCUAACGAUAAGGAGAUGGAUGGUUUCACUAAGAGAGUCCUCAGAAUCUCAAUCAAAAAAGCUUUUGAUGAAUCUUACUUCACAAACCGGUUGUGGAUGUUCUUCAGAGAAACAAAGGUAACUGAGGAGGACAUUAGAAGAAUGUUUCAUCAAGUCAGAGAGAAUAUGAAACACAGGAUCACGUUGACGAAGAAGAGUGAUCCUGGGAAGUUUGCAAUACCAUGCGUAGUCAAGGGUGUUGAAUUUCCCCAUUCUAUGUGCGACACAGGAGCAUCAGUUAGUAUCCUCCCUAGGAUCAUGGCAGAGCAGCUUGGUUUGACCAUCGAACCUUCAACAUAAUCCUUUACUUUCGUGGAUCUUUCAGAAAAACGAUCAGGAGGUAUCAUAAGAGAUCUGGAGGUACAGAUUGGUAAUGCCCUUGUCCCGGUAGAUUUUCAUGUCGUAGACAUCGAGCUUAACUGGAACUCUUCACUUCUGCUUGGAAGAUCUUUCCUAGCUACAGUAGGAGCUGUAUGUGACAUGAACAAAAACAAAUUGUGUCUGACGCUGAUAGACCCCAACAUUCACUACGACCCUAUCCAACCUAAAAGAAAGGUUAUUAAUUUUGUGGAUUACGGGAAAUAACUUGGCUUCAUUGGAGCAUGCCAUUGUGGAGCAGAGUACGAAUCAGAGUACUUGGAAUCGAUCGACACCCCCACUUUUCCAUCGAUCGAUUCCAAUGAGUCAACAGUGACUGAUGACCGCAACAACACGUCGCUCGACGUUGAUCAGCCGGUUGACCAUUUCGCUUCACCUAAUCAUUGUUACCCACACUUUGCUUUCCAACCUCCAAGCAAGAGAGGACGUGAUGAUUAUUCCAUAGGUAUUUGGGCAGACAGUGGUUUCCAUGAAAGUUUUGCAGUUGCACUGUAAUUGCUUCACCUAACGAGGAACACACAGAGGAAUACGAAGAGGAUUAUUGGACGGAACGUGCAAUAGAAAUGUCUUUGCAGGAUGAAAGAUUUGAAACGCAUAAGUUCACCAACACAUUCCCAACAACGCUCGACGAAGUGCACUCCACAUCGGUCGAUACCCACCGUCGUGCAGCAAAACAACCGCUCACAUCGAUCGACACCCAUAGAGGAACAUCGAUCGAUAUUCGCGCCGCAGCAAAAAAUCCAGGAACAGGAGAAUAUUCCCUCUCCAACUAGGCUUAUAGAUACCUAUUUGAAACAUUUUGCACCCCUGAAACCACUUCCACACACCAGGGAAGACACACAAGCAGAAAAGAUGAACACUCUUCCAUCUACAUCAACAGGAAAAUUCAUGAAGAGCAAUCAUCUCAAGAACACAAGUUCAGCAGAAACUAUUAUGCCCUCGAUCGAUACAUUUGUAUCAACAUCGAUCGAUACUACUCUUAAACCUAAUAUUUCUAUUUCUAAAUUUUAUGAUAAUGCAAACAUUGAUUACAGUUUUAUAACUCCUGACGAAUUUGGUAUUUUCAGGGACCCAGAUGGCAACGCACGUGCAAUAGAUGGAAGGAUCUUACAAGUGUCUAGAGAGGACAUAGUAGAUAUCCUUCAAGUGGCCAAUUGACCUGACAACCUAUUCUCACAGCAACGUGGCACUCCAGACGUCAUUCAAACCAAUCCUAACAAACACGUAGGAGUCGCCGUAACAAAAAUCAAUCCAGAUCUAUCAUGCCAACCAAAAGGCCACGCAUCGAUCGACGGGACAACUCAGACAUCGAUCGACAGGAUAACACCAACGUCGAUCGGUAAGGAUGACCCACAUUGAUCGACAGACGUUAUGAAUUUGGAUACCGCGCUUUUGACAUGUAUGGAGCCAGAAAGUUCACUUGGGAACGAAGGGACGAGUAUGGAGUCUACAGAGAAGAGUGUGGACACGCACGAGGCGUAGCUGGUGAGAUGAUACCUGUCACAAAGGACGACAUCAGGAAAUUACUGGAAAGAGCAUCUCUUUUUGAAGAGUGCCACAUUUGUCUUCCAGAACACGCCACUUCCUUCACGCUCACAAGACUGGCACCAGAACUCUACACCAAAGAUGAAAUCAACGAGAUGGUGACUGGUAUUUGUAGAGCUCAGGAAAAACUGGGAGAGGAACUCAAAUCAUUGGUAGAAGAUAUACAUCAACCUUUUGAUAGAGGCUACAAUGAGCUUUUCAGAAGUAUGGUAGAAAUGAGGACAUAAAUUGAGAGUUUACGUCAGCAACUUGAGAAGGAAGCAACGACCUCAGCAUCGAUCGACGCACCACAUGCACCAUCGAUCGAUGUCAGUCUUCCUACAGCCCAGAUCCCUGCAGAACCGUAAUGUUCAGUAGAACACAAGGAUGAAUGGGAAGUCUCAUACAUCAACACGAGGAUAAACGACGUGUACUACCCUCUCAACAACAACGUGGACUGGCUGAGCACUAAAAUCGAGCUACUACAGCAAGAUUUGGACACCAUUCGCAAGAAGGACCAACAACCAGCCACAUCGAUCGAUGUGUGUACCAUCACAUCGCUCGACGCUAAGAUCUCAGCCAUGGAUGAUAGGCUGCAGACUUACGAGGACAUGCAUGACCGCUUCGUAUCACCAGUUAUGCUAGAUUUAAACAAAUUGUCUAGUCAAAUACUUCAUUCCCAAAGGGAUAUUGAUAAAAUUACUAAUCAAAAUUUUUUGCAGGCAAACUCAUCUUCGAUCGACAGGGUACGUUUCCGGUACCGGGACGUCACCCAAACUCACGUCCCCGUGCAUCAUAGGUGACAACUGAGUCUAGACCUCCUGGAUCCGAGCCACAACAAUGUUUCAGAUCCUCUCUGCUUGAGGAUGCGAAAAGGUGCCAUCAGAAAGCUGGUGUGUCGUCCUGUAAACUCGGGCCAGAGAUGGUGGUGCUCCUUCUUGGGCAGCCUGUAUUAAAAAAAUUAUUUUAAUUAAACUCACGCAUUCAAUAAAUAUUUAAUUAAUACAUAUUUAAUAAAUAUUAAAAAUAUCAAAGACUUACAAUUUGUAGUGCCCUCCCAGCGUGUGGAAUCUGUUCGGAAGUAUGAGGUAUUGGCAGGUUACCAUCUUCAUCACGGGUCAACCGGGCCGUUGAGCAAGUGAGAGACCUUUGAAUUGACUUAGGCAAAUUCCAAUAAGCCUUCAAGCCCUUCCAAACGUCAUUGCUGAGGUUUGCUUCUUUUGCGUCAUCCCCCAGAACCCUCCACUUCUCCUUCCAAUCACCAACAAUGUUCUUUAGGCGAGCCAUCGCCUUUUUGUAGAACGCUUCCUUCAACGUUUCGUUGACAGCAAUGGACCAAUUCCAUUUUUGCUUCAAAAAAAAUUAAUUAAUUAAAUUAUUAUUUUCUAAAUUAAAAAUAAAUAAAAUUAUAUUUAAAACUAACCGCGAAGCACUUGAACCAAGUCCUCCGAACAUGAUCUGGUGUAAGAGACCAAUUCGGAUGCGCUUCCCGGAAGUUUGUCCUGAUGAUAUCUCCAACGCUCUGUCCCACACAAUUGUCCGUCAAAAACCUACAAAAUUUGAAAGAAUACAUAUAUUUAGACCAAUAUGUAUAAUUAUUUGAUUUAAAAUAUUAAAAAUUACCAGUAAGUGUUGGGUGGUCGAUCUUGAUUGAUGAUUGGUAAACCUUCUCGUCCCGGCAUCUGGAGAAGGUCUUCCACUGUAUAUCUUGCAUAUGGUGCAUCCGAUGGCACCAUCAAAUCUGGAUGAACAGCUGCAGGAGCCGGAGCAGCUUCGGGAGCAGUAAACUUCUGCUGAGGAUGGUGUGGAGAAUGAUGCUGAUCAUGCCGAGGCUGCUGUGGAGUUUCAUCGUACUGGGGAUAGAAUGGAGCAGGGUCAUCAAACUGCGGAUAGUAAGCUGCAGGGUCAUAUGCCUGUGGAGGCACAUACGGAGCAGUAGGAACUUGGCUCUCAGGGACAUUCUCUUAGCCAGAUGAUGUGCCGGAGGAAGAAGCUGAUGGAUCCACCUGUCCGAGAAAGGUAUUCGCGUAAGAGUUUCUAGGCGUAAGAUUCCUAAGUCUCUGUCUACCGCUAGCCAUUGCAAUAUAUAUCGCCAAUCUGACCCCAAAAAAAUUGACGUUUAGAAACAAUUCAAAUUUUUUAUAUAAAAAUAAUCUAAACCUAUUCUAAUUCCAUCAUAAUCUAUCUCCAUCCUAAUCUACAUCCAUCCUAAACUAAUUCCAAACCUAAUCUAAUCACCUAACUAACCACCUAAAACUAAAACAAAAUAAAAAUAAAAAAUUACCUAGAGAGAGAAGGGAAAUCGUUGUUAGAGAGAAGGGAAUGAGCAACCAAAUGGCUUCGCGAGGUCCGCGUAUAUAUAGAGUUUUGGUGUUAGUCGUAAAUGGGUUGUAAUAUUACGACCAAUGAGCGACUACGGGUCGUAUAGGAGGUGUAAAUUUACAACCAAUGGGAGACCAAAUAGUGUUACGACCAAUAAGGGACUAAAUUAUUGUUUUUAUUUACGACCAAUGAGAGACUAGCAGUCGUUAAAGAAACGUAAAUUUAUGACCAAUGUGGGAUGAAGUCCUUUACUACCAAUUAGGGACUACCGUUGUUAUAUUUGAAAAAAAGAGAACAAAGAUACUAGAAUCACAGGUGAGAAAAAAUUUCUGAUGCCUACAAUUGUACAAGCCAAUGUAAGAUACUUUUAUAACUUUUUUUUUCUAUCAAGAAGUAAUAAUAACUUUAUUUCUUACAUGCAAGUGCCUCAUGAACAUUUUUUGGAAGUAACUCUGCAAAUGCAAAUGGUAGAAGUUGUUGCAUAAACACAUGACAGUCAUGACUCUUCAUCUCUGAAAACUUAUGUCCCUGCUGAUCAACACAUCUUGAUAGAGUUAAAACAUAUCCAUCAGAAAACUUCACAUCUGAUGCCACCCACUUGAACAACGCUCCUUUUUCUUCUGCUGACAAUCUGAAAAUGGGAACUGGAAUUUUCCCAUUGUUUUUAAUAUGCAGCUCAAUCCUAGAACAUAAUACAGGCAAAUCCAACCACGAGUUCUUGUUAUCUUUUGUCUUCCCGGGGACGUUCAACAAUGUAUUGAUGAUGUUGUCAAAGAAGUUCUUCUCUACAUGCAUCACAUCAAGAUUGUGGCAUAGAAGUAGAUACUUCCAAUAUGGAAGUUCCUAAAAUAUACUCUUUUUAUGCCAAUUAUGCUGUGUCCCGUAACCAACAGACAUAUUUGCAAUAGUAUGCCAAUUACCCCCUUUCUUGAUUGUGUCUUGUCCACCAUAGUAAUCAAUCUCCUUCUUGAUUUCCUCUCCAGAUAAAUAUGGUGGAGUGGUGUCUUGUACAACCCUUUUUGACCGAAACAAUUUUCUGUUCCUUCGGUACGGAUGGUUAAUGGGAAGAAAUCUCCGAUGACAAUCAAACCAGGACGUCUUCCUACCAUUCUUCAGCUGAAAUGCGUCUGUGCUUUCCAUACACUAAGGACAAGAUAGCCUCCUCCAACCUGACAACAUCCCGUAUGCAAGAAAGUCACUAAUGGUCCACAAAAGAACUGCUCGCAUUGUAAAGUUUGUUCUCGUUGAACAAUCAUAUGUCUGCACGCCUGUUGACCAUAAUUCCUUCAAUUCUUCUAUCAAAGGCUGUAGAAAAACAUCAAGGGACCUCUUCGGAUGCUUUGGCCCAUGUAUCAAUAUACUCAUGAAAAGCAAUUCCUUUUCCAUACACAUCUCUGGUGGAAGGUUAUGUGGCGUCAAGAAGACUGGCGAAAGCGAGUAUUGUCUGCUCCCGUCAUUUCAGAUUGAUAUAAUCUCUUCAGUCUAUCCUUAAUAGGUAAGUACCACUCUAACAAUUCUGCAUUUUCUCCCCAGUAUAUCAUACAGUUGUCUAUACACACAACAAUCAUCUCCGAAGGUAAGCCAAGGCUAUUAACCAAUUUCAGAAUCUCAUAAUAAGAUUCAGCACACAGAUUAUCUUCAUGCAAAUAUUCUUUAAACAACUGAACCCAUGCAUCCGUACAAACUUCAGGAAAAUUAUGAUCAGUUUUGAUAUUCAUCAUCCUAGCUGCCAAUGAUAAUUUAGAAAUACCUUCUCUACAACCUUCCUAAAUUGGCUAAUUAGCUGCUGCUAGCAUUUCAUAAAAUCUUUUUGCAUCCAAGUUAGGCCCCUCUACAUUUUCUACCUCCUCUAUUACUGAUCUUGUUUCACGAAAUGCAUCUGUAACCAUAUCAUGAAUCCUAUCAUGAUCUACCAUAUGAUCCUCUUGAAGGUUAUAACUUUCAAAAGGAAAAUGUGGUUCAUCUGAUCUGUUACGAACAUUUUCAACCUGAUUACUACUACUAGCUUCAUUCCUAUUAUCACCUUCUCCGUGGUUAAACUAGAUAUAGUAAUAUGGAGUAAAUCCUCUAUUUACUAUAUGUUUCCAAACAGUUUCACUAGCAGCAAACUUGGUAUUGUUUCACUAGCAGAUUCCUCCUGCUCAAACAGCAGCAUCUCAAUAUUCUAGCCGAGAUGGCGGUGAGAGCAUCAACGAUGACGCACUGGAAAUCUCCUUCAGGACGUGUAGACAUGCUGGCAUAGGCGAGAAUGGUGGAAGUGCUGGCCCUGUCUGCUCCUUCUGAUGUCCUCUAGCUCGCUGUACGGUGUAGUGGCACGGCAUGGUUGAUUGGCCAUGGAGGAGGGGCUAAUCGGGGUGAAACUGGAUGCUAGCGAGACCCCCUGAGAAGUCCUUGACCGAACGGCUGGGUAGAUCUAUCAAGUGUGUGCCAUCCGCGUCUUUGAAAGUCCAGAAGUGGUCGUCCUUGAGCCAGUGUGCGCUCCUGAGGUGUGCUGCGUCCAUUUAGACGAGCUGAUCAUCCAUUGCAGCCCCGUCUAAUGGUAUCCUGCAGUGCAUGACGAUCAGUGUAAGCAGACUCUCAACCGUCUUCUUCUUCGUUCCCGAUGUCUCGAACGGCUUCAUCUUGAGAUUGAUUAGGUGCUCGGCAAAGAGGGCUCCCAGGUUAGGCAACGUGUCGUCAUUGUUGGGGUUGAAAACGGUUACAACGAAGUUAAUGUCCAAACCUCUGCAAAAACAAGUGUGAGUGUCUUUCUGCGACAAUUAUGCUUGGUAAAAAAUGUCACGACACAGGAUCUCGAGAUAAAACCUUGUUCGAGUCUCGGUUGGAUCAAACAAAAACUGACCCAAGGUAACAGAAACGUAUUUAAACCAGCCACAGAUAGGUUCGAGUGUGACGAACGGAAAAUGGACAAGCCAAGCCCUAUCACUACGGAACGACCGAACAUGCGCACUACAGGGCCGCUACGUAGCCACCGAGCUCGAGCCAAGCUCGGUCACUACGUAGCGAACGAGCGCACGUCCCGCUCGGUCGUUAUGUAUCGACCGUGCGCACAUCCCGCUCGGUCGUUACGUAGCGACCGAGCGCACGCCCCGCUCGGUCGCUACGUAGCAACCGAUCGCACGUCCCGCUGGGUCGCUACGUAGCGACCCAGAUUUCUCGAAAUGUCAAAUACGACAUGAAUCCAUGCAUUCUCGUCUACUCUUUGAUGCUAUAUCCCGAAGACCGUAGCAAAACCAUUUCAUGUUUCUCGACAUUUGAAGUCAUCAAUCUAACUUUACGAUAAAAACCGUGGAAAUUUUGUUUUUAUCGAAAGAAGCCGUAAUAAACGCUUCGAGCCAAAAGACGGGCCAGAGGGACCUAAGACAUGACUCGAAGCCCAAUUUACGAUUUCUUAACCAAAAACCCGUAAACCGUAGGACGGUUUACGCUUGGUUCGCAAGGAAAGAUAAAUGUCAAGUUUCCCCGGAUAAAUACGAAGUUUUGGAAGAUAAUUACGAAAUGGAGUAUCUCUAUUUUUUGGCUAUGACGGCUUAAGGGCAGAAGGGGAAAAACGUAAAACCGACCUAGGAGCGAGUAUAUAAAGAGUCCUCGGCGAAAGGCAUGAGGAGGACCUUUUUCAGAGAAAACUUAGCACUUAGAGCAAUGAGACAACUUUCUGUUUUUGUUAUUUCGAGCUGCGACUUAAUUAGGUUUAGCCGUCUUAGGGUUGUUAGAACAAGGAAUCUCGCCGACAGCCCUCGAGCCCAGGCUUAUUACCUUGUUGUAAACGCUCAUACGCAAAUUCGGAAUAAGACUUCUCUUUGCUCUCUUUUUACGAUUCCAUAUACUUUAUCGUUGUUAUCUCGUGUUCUGAUUGCUUGGCGUUUGGUAUUAGCAGAUAUCCGGGACCUCUAGGAAAUCAGGAUUUUCCUAGUUUCCUAAUUUAAACGGAAAUCGACAGUGUGAAUGUCGGUUCUCACAGUUUGGCACUAGAAGGAGGGGGGGUACGGAUCAAUCUAACCCUCAACCACAUCACGCUCACCCAGACAUGUCAACAGACGACGCGGACAACAUUGAAACUCCUCUCAACGGAGGAAGCGGCACUGACUCCACACUCCAGCAGCGGACAUAUCCGCAGCCAACGCACCAGCCAACGCCGCGACGCUCGAGGAGUUUAAAAAGAUGUUCACCACCUAUGAAAAAAGGUCGGAAGAACAGGAUAAGCUCGUAAACACCUUGACCAAACAGGUCGAAACCUUAACGGCAAGGACUCGAGCAAUCCGUCCCCAUGGAACCACGAAUGUUUGCGGGAAAAGACUCGACUUUGCAACCCCACUCGACAGGCCUGGAACGACGCGGGAAAGACCCUCGGGCCAAAACCCUAGCGAAAAAUCCCCAGCCGAGAAAAGGAACUCUGAGAGUCCUCCCCCUCCCGUGAAGGACUCGAAGGUUAAUGAAGUUGAGCACGUCGACUUGGAUCCCAUUGACGUCUCCAAUGAUACUGAGGAGGACGCCGACAAACAUCCAAGAAGGACCAGAAGCUGAUUUGCUCGGGAAAGCUCUCCGUUCGAUAAGCCAAUGACGAAAGAGGAGGAAAUCCUCUAUUGGAACGAACAAGAAGAGCUGGCUGAAAAGCAAACCAAGAUCACUCGCAGUAAACGCCGACAAGCUCGGAAAUCUGCUGACGAGACGUUGGACAUCCACGAUCUUCGCGAUUACAUCACCAAAACUGCGGCGGAAGUAAGGGCCGUGAAAUCCCAGAUCCAUCACGCUACCAGUGCUGCCCCCGAGAUGAACAGACUGCCGGAAGGGGUUCGGAAGACGCCCUUCACCACUUGCAUCACCAAAGUUUGAUGGUACGACGGAUCCUAAAGCGCACCUUCAGGCUUUCCACAUUGUUGGGGAAAAAUAUCCCUGUAUUAUUUCCCCAAGCCUCCAGGCAGGACUCAGAUCCCCGGAUCCCUGGUAAAUGGGUUCCCCGGGUCCCCACCAGAGGGAACCCUGGGCUCGAUCCCUGGACCGUACUCCCUUCCAAGAAAUGGAAAACUUCCGACAAGGAGAACCUUCCAUAUUUCCGAAUAUGGAAGAGUUUAACCUAAUGAAACCGACUUCUAGAUGACUAUAUAAGAGCGACAACAGCCCUCAAGCAAGGGAUCGACUUCUCCAAGGCUUAGAGACUAGGGUUCGACGGCUAGAAUUAGGGUUCUUAUAAAACAUCUUGUAACGAUACCUUGUUCUUGCCUAUUCAUCUAAUAAUACGUCUCUCAAGCCUAUUCUAUUAUUAUCUCUUUAAACAUCCUAAAACCCUUACUAAAUAACCACAAACACUCGAGGUUUACCAGCUUAUCCAUCGUUCUGUGGUACUCUAAAAGAGCCUACACAAAAAUCCCCUAACAGUUUGGCACAAGAAGGAGGGGAGUAAUCUAAGCUACGUGACGAUGGCGGUGGAUGAGCAAGACAAUACAUCAGAAUUUACCCCAAGAGAAGCCAAGCUUCAACGACAGAUCGAUGGACUGCAGAGCCAAGUAACCGACAUGCACAAGGCUCGGGAAACAACCGAAAAUCCAGAGCUUUCCUCCAAGGUUCAGAGCCUGAAGGAAAAAAUUGGUGAACACUCCUAACAGCUGGAGUUAAGCACCGAGAAACUCAACCAACUACAGACGGAGAACGCUGCACUCCGAGACAAGAACAAAGCUCCCAACACGGCGAGCAACAAGAUGCGUCGCUUCAACACUCGAGUUUGACCUAUGGGAAGCCUGAGCACUCCCAACACCGGAGAUAACGCGGCUCCUGCAUCCGGAGCGGCCGGGGCAACACGAAAAGGGAUCGAGGAUCACCAGAUCCACGACCUAGAGGAAAGUGAUUCCGAACCUGAACCCGAGAAAGAAGAACCCGAGAAGACGGCAGCCGAGUCUUCCAUAACCGCCUAUCUGGAGCAGAUGUUUUCCAAGAGGUUCGACGCCAUGCAAUCCAUGGUGGAACGUCUACCAGGAGUAGCUCCCCCAAUCCGGAGGAGCAACCCCGACUCGUACACAGAUACUCACUUCGCAGAGGAGAUCGCCUCAAUCGAGUGCCUCGGAAAUUCUCCUUCCCCAGCAUCAAGAUGUGCGAUGGCACCAAAGACCCCGACGAUCAUAUUGCACAAUAUAAACAGAGGAUGCUAGCGGUUGCGCUCCCCAAGGAGUCCCGUGAAGCAACCAUGUGUAAAGGGUUCGGAUCCACUCUAAUUACACCCGCCUUGCAAUGGUAUAUCAAUCUCCCUACCAGGUCUAUCUCUUCGUUUGUCGGCCUGAGCGACAAGUUCGUAGAACAAUUCGCGAGUAGCAGGAGCCUGGAGAAAACUUCAGACAGUCUCUACGAGAUCCUCUCGCAUCGAGUAGAACCCCUGCGGGACUACAUAGCCCGUUUCAAUCAAGAUAAGGUAGCUGUCCCUGAAUGCAGCAUCCCUACCGCAAUCUCUGCCUUCAAGAGAGGCCUACUUCCAUACGGAGGGAUCUACAAAGAGCUAACCAUGUACCCUUGCAAAACCAUGGAGGAUGUGCUAUCCUGAACGUGGGCACAUGUGAAGUGGGAAGAGGACAUUGCUAGCCGUGCCAAGGCUCAACCCAAACAGGAUCAGAGGUCCACCUAAUCAGACCGGGGAGACCGAGAAGAAAGAUCCUCCCAAAAGGGAUCCAAGGACUCUGAAAGCAGGAACCGGGGCAGGUUCCAAUACCGACCAUUAGAAAAAGAAGCGGGGAUGUCUGUGUCUACCUGGCCAGAUAUCACCCAUCUCUCGACAUCCACACCAGAGCUGGUCAACACGCUGGGGCAAAUAGGCCAACAGGUCAAGUGGCCCCCAAAGAUGAAAGCACCUGACUCAUUCUGGAACCCGAGACUCUCGUGCGACUUCCAUCGCGAUCACGGCCACAAAACUGAAGACUGCAUCGCCCUGAAGAUCGACGUCAACGAACUGCUCCAAAAGGGGCAUCUCCGAGAAUUCCUUUCAGAGAAUGCCAAGGCUCAUCUUAGCAAAGAAGCAUCAGGGAAAUCCAAAGGAGACGCACCAAGCUCACCACCUCGCCAGGACCGGGUGAUUCAUGUCAUCUCAGGAGGCUCUGAAGUAAGUGGCGUGAGUCAUGCAGCUGCGAAGAAUAGCACCCGUAAUGCUAAACACGGCCUGGAGACUGCUCAACCUAAAUGCCUACUUCUAGGUACUGACGAGAUAAGCUUCACAGCCAAGGAGCAAGAGAAGAUAUUAGCUCCCCACCAUGACGCUCUAGUUGUCUCCCUCACCAUAGCGAACUGUUUGGUGAAAAGAAUACUAGUAGACAACGGGUCCUCCAGCAAUAUCAUCUUCCUGACGGCGUACCAGGACCUAGGGUUAGAGGAGAAUACCCUGACGCGCAAAAAGUAAGUCCACUCAUCGGGUUCAGCGGCGAGCUCAAGCAAACCGCUGGGGAGGUUGUUCUGCCAGUAUAUGCUGAAGGGAUCAACAUAUCUACCAAAUUCCUGGUCGUGGACUGCCAAUCGGCCUACAACAUGAUCUUAGGAUGACCAUGGAUUCACGACAUGGGAGCAGUCCCCUCAACCCUCCAUCAAAUAGUGAAGUUCCCUACACCCUGGGGCAUAAAAGCAAUCCGAGGAGAUCAGGAGAAUUCUAGGUCCUGCUACCAGACCACCUUAAAAGGGAAGACCAAGGUCUUAUAGCAAUUACAGAGGAGACCUCAGAUCCCGCGGAAUCGGUAAUCUGGGGUCAACAAUAGGGGUAAUUCAGGAACCCUCUGCAUAGUCUGGACCCUACAUCCAAAGAGUUUCCAGAGAGCUUACGUCGACCGCUUCCCAUGGUCUCCCCUAAGAACCUGCAAGGCUGCACCUACUCGCAAAAUCUGGUCCCCACAGGACCCUCGUCCUCCGCCUCACAUAGAUAAGAUAGCCAGAAGCUUCAACAGUUAUCAACCGGUGAUCUCACAGAUAAACGAGUGGGGCACGAACACCUCGAAAAAACCCCCUCGGAAGAGAGCUCCCAGCUGGCACCAGAGAGAGAUAGGAGAGUGAUAUCACUCAAAUUACCUUAAAGAGUGUUACUCUCAUCAAAAGAGGUCGAAUUAUAGUACUUAGGGAUCGAAUCCACAAGGAGCUAGGAAACCGAUUAGAUCUAAUAGUUAUAUGAUUAAGCUAGGCUAAUAGGUUUUAAAGCAGUAAAUAAAACAAGUAAUAAAUAAAGCAAUAAACAAGAUGAACAAGGUAAUUGUUCAGCUUGGCAAGGAGUAGUUUGAUGGAGGGAUGGUUGAUAAAUCUAGGGUUUAUAUUAAGGUGUUGGAGAUUAUAAUUCCUAUAGGUACCUAUUUGUUGCAUGCAAGAUAUGUUAGAGCUCAACCGCUUAAUUCAGUGAUAAGCUGUCGCAUAUUUCACUGGUUAACAAGCUAGAUCUCGUGUCUCAACGGUUAGUAUGUUGACAUGAAAGAGUGUCGAUCUAUGGUCCUAUUGGGACAUCGACCGAUACACCUUUGCCUACGUCGACCGAUAGUCAGUUGAGGACAUCGAUCGACGGGUUCUAGCCAGGCCUAUGCGCGAGUAUGAUAUGCCCUACUAAGAUACUAAAUUGGCGGUUAGCCCUCUCUAGCAGUCCUAAUAUGAUAGAUAGAUGUCAGGAUGGGAUAACAAGGGUGCUUGAGUAUGCAAUCCUAUGAUCAAGUUCUAGUUAAUUACUCUAAAACAAGCAAUGAAUCCAAAUCUAUCAUGAAUAUCACAACAAGGCAGAUCUAUAGUUUGGGGCUAAUCCCACAAACCUAUCUGAACCCUGGAUCUAACAGGUGGAUCUAUUCAGACAUGAAGUUUGUUACAGAAAUCAUAGAUGAAAUAGAUGUAAAACUGAAAUAGAAAUGAUUAAGAAAACCAAUGGAGUUCCAGGACGACUCUGAUAGGAGUUCCUCCCUUCUCUCCUAAGAGAAAAAAUGGAAAUGAAAGCGUGUAGAAAGCAUAGCCGUCAACAAUGGCUUAGAAAUAACAUAAAUAGGGUUUCUGGUCGUCCAAAGGCAUUCUGGUAAUUUGUGGUUACUUCUAGGCUUCACGCAGUCAUAAAAUAUACAAGGCCCACGAUCUGGGAUCUCCAUCGAUCGACGUGCAGAGUGCUGCAUCGAUCGAAGCGGCUUCCUCUUCUCGGUAGCUUCCUCUCGCGAGGCAGACUGACCACGCUUCAGUAAAACAGGCAUAACUUCUGCUACAGGAUGCUGAUUGACCUGAGACCGGGGGCAUUGGAACGUUAACUCAAAGCUCUAUUUUGUGUCAAAUUAUGGGCUCAAUCUAACGGGCGGAAGGUCUCCAUCCAUAGCUAAACAUCUGACGCGUCUAUGCAACUCUGCACCUCCAAAGGCUCCAAAAGACUCCAAAAUCACCAUAUUUCUCCUAAACGUCCCUGAACCUGUAAAUACUCUAAAUAGACUCCAAAACAUAAUAAUUGUAUCUUAAAACACUUUAAAAUACUUAUAGACCAUGAUUAAAAAUGGGUAAAAUAUAUGGUCUAUCAACUCCCCCAGACUUACCCUUUUCCUUGUCCUCAAGCAAAACAGACAGGCAGUCUCUCUGAAAGAAGUUUUGAAAACAGUAGGGACUCACAUGAUUUAAAACUUAGAAUCAUCACCUCUACAAUAUUGCAAUCCACAUCUAAGAAUUCCUAAUCACAGAAGCACAUUAUACAAUAUCCUCGCUUAGCAACCAAAUUCACCUAGCCAACAUCUUAGAAAAUCAUGUCUGACAUUCCCCUCUACCAACCUCAUUUCUUAACAUAAAUAAAUGUGUAUGUUUUACCUUGGGAGUAUCGAUCACAAGACACAUAGACUCUUAGCCCAACAGGUAUCUGAGUAAACAUGUAGUCUUGUUCUGGUUUCUUUUACUCUAUAUCUCCCUUCUCUGAAUCCUUUUUAUCUCAAUUCCAAUGAACAAAGAUGCUGACGCAGUCCAUCUUAUUCACCUUCUUUUCGAUUUUUUUUAUUUUUUUAUUUUUUAUUUUCUUAUAUUUUUAUUUUUUUAUUUUUUUUUCUUUUCUUGACAAAGUGUAGGCGAAUAGUGGGGUCAUCGGUAAUGUACCUAUUCCUCGCUUCCAACAAUGUGUGAUCAUUCUAUUAGAGUAGAAUAAUGGGGUCAUCGGUAAUGUACCUACCCCUCUAAACCGCAAGAAAUCAUCUCAAUCUUUUAUUUUAUUUUAUUAGGAUGCCAAAGGGAGGAGAUAAGGAAACCAAAAUCACUCAGACUUUUACCUUUCAGACCUGAAGGAGGAAUCCGAUCCAGUGUAUACCAAGCCCCAAGACAAGCAGUAAAGUCAAAUUAGGUUGGAGGUCAGUUUCGGUUCCUUGAAACAAUCUCAGCAAGUGUGAACAUAGUUGACAGAUUGAUCCACUUUAGUAUCUUUAGUACUAUCUGCAAUCAGUAAGUCUAGAAUAGUGCUAAAGAGUGGUUAGAUAACAAGCAUGAAUAUAAUAAGUUCAUUAUCCCCUUCUUGACUCAAUAAAAACAUAUUUUGAAAAUAUUUUAAAUAAGACUCAUAAAGGUAGAUAAACGUUAG